AGUAUAAUGGUGAGGUGAGUUAUGUCCAAUAAACUAAUAAUUGUUUAAAAUGUCUCCUCUCUAUUGUAUAUAAAAAAAACUGGUCACAGAAAUUCAAACUUUUGUACAAAGCCAGCCAAGUUACUCUCUCUCCGUUCUCCACCUCGAGAACUACCCCCCCACUUUCAAACACAUGAAAGAACUCUCCUCCUUCCUCUUCAUCAUCUUCUCCUUUGUUCUGCAGCUUCUCGUUGCAUGAAACCAAAAUCAUGAUCUCAUGAAGCCUUAGAAAGACUGGCAUUAGCAAAAACAAAACAGAAAAAAAAAAAUGGUGGUUGCAUUUCUUAAAGUUGUUUCCUUUCUAUUCUUCUUUACUUCCCUGGUUUCCUCUCUAAACUCAGAUGGUCUCUCUCUUCUUGCUCUCAGGGCAGCCAUAGAAUCUGAUCCUACUAGUUCCCUUGAUAAAUGGUCUGAGUCUGACUCAACCCCAUGCCAUUGGCCUGGAAUCGCCUGCACCCGCAACAGAGUCACCUCAAUAUUUCUUCCCAACAAAGAGUUAACCGGUUACAUCCCAUCAGAACUCGGUCUUCUCGACACGCUAACUCGCCUGAGUCUCUCUCAAAACAACUUCUCAAAACCAAUUCCUUCUCGUCUCUUCAACGCUACAAACCUUGUCUACAUUGACCUUUCCCAUAACUCACUCUCUGGCUCAGUUCCUCCACAAAUAAAAUCCCUCGAAAACUUAACGCACCUCGAUCUUUCCUCCAACUCACUCAACGGGUCACUCCCUGAGUCACUUGUUGAGCUCAAGAGCUUGACAGGAACCCUAAACUUGUCUUGCAACAAGUUUUCAGGUGAAAUUCCAGCUUCUUAUGGAGAGUUUCCAGUGAUGAUAAGCUUGGAUCUAAGGCACAAUAAUUUAACAGGGAAAGUGCCUCAAGUUGGUUCUUUGUUAAAUCAAGGGCCCACCGCAUUUUCAGGAAACCCUAAUCUUUGUGGGUUUCCGUUGGGGAAUCUUUGCCCGGAAGCUCAAAACCCGAGAGCUUUUGUAAACCCUGAAGAAAAUCCUGAAAAUCCCAAUGGUUUUAGGCCCACCUUUGAUGAUGGGAAUGGAGAGAAACGGAAGGAGAAAAAUGUGUCAGUGGCUGUUCCCUUGAUCUCAGGCGUUUCGGUGGUGAUCGGGGCGGUUUCGAUAUUUGUGUGGCUGUUUCGGAGAAAAUGGAAGCCUGAGGAGGAUAAAAUGGGGAAAGAGAAAAAGGGGGAGGCGGUUGAUGAGGAAGGGCAAAAGGGUAAAUUCGUGGUGGUUGAUGAGGGGUUUAAUUUGGAAUUAGAGGACUUGUUAAGGGCAUCUGCGUAUGUAGCGGGGAAGAGUAGGAGCGGGAUAGUGUACAAAGUGGUGGCUGGGAGGGGAUCUGGUACGGUGGGGAGUACGAUUGUUGCAGUGAGGAGGUUGGGCGAGGGUGAUACCACAUGGAAGUUUAAGGAGUUUGAGGCUGAAGUAGAGGCUAUGGGGAGGGUUAACCAUCCCAAUGUUGUCAGGUUGAGAGCUUAUUAUUAUGCCAAUGAUGAGAAGUUGCUGGUUACUGAUUUCGUCCGUAACGGAAGCUUGUAUGCAGUAUUACAUGGUAACAUUCCUCUCCUUGCAUUGUUUUUCUUGCAAUUGUCGUGCACUCUUGAAGUAGUUAGUGGCAUUUUUUGACCCUAAUUUGAAUGAUGGCAGUAUUGGACAUUGAUUUGAUGGGUCCCUUCCUCACUAACUAUGUUUUUUGUCAUAAAACAUAAGUCAAUCUUUUUGGAACUUACUUUGAACUUCAAUCCUGCUUAUGUUUUGCGAUGACUUUACUUGCUGAUACUUCCUUGUUAGCCCUGUGGAUUUGGCUCUUAUUUGUAGAUUCAAUUGCUGUUCCUUAGUAGUUUAUAAUCGUAGAAAGAAGAUAACUAUGAGUGCUUCAGUUUCAAUUUUCUGCUCACCAUUUAUCUAGAUGGAAAGAAAACCCCACAACUAUUAUCACAUUAAAAUACUGAUAGGAGUUUUCAUGUAUGAUAAUGCUUUUGAGAUAUUUUGUUUAUGUAAUUUCCACCGAGUACACAGAAUUCUUGGUUUCCAAUUAUAGUGCUUAAGGCAUUUACUUGGUUGAAAUCUGUUUAUCAUUGGCUUAGUUUCAUCUUCCCAUCAUGAUUCAUGAGUUUCUGUAUUUUGCAUCGAGGAUUAUUAGCAUAAACAGUCAUUAUUUUAUCAGCCUACUGGCCUUGCUAAUGCCUUACAAGUCUCACAAUCUAUCUUUUUCAAGACAGCUUGUGUCUUGUAGAAUGAUUGCAAAAAAUUACUGUGACAGCUAAACUAAAGGAGACUCGAGUUGUUUUCAAGCACCUAAAUUCUUGAGCUAUUUAACAGUUUGGUGGGGUUUUGCUCCGCUUUUGCUAGAAAUUUUGUUGGUCAUUCUUGAAAUUUCCUGAAUUUAUUUUCAGUACUAAGAUGAACAAGAGAAAAGGACCGAACAUUAUGAUAAUUCCAUGAAAGCUUUAGUGCUUUACCUACUUCAAUGAUAGGUAGGUGAUAUUCAUUGUCACAGGCGUUUUCUUUUCUAACUUUUUCCAGUUGAGGGUGUAAUCUGAAAACUGAUUGGUGACAAUCUGGGUGUUACCCAUUCCUAACCUAUACACACCCAAUUAGAUAAUAAAAAUAUAGAUCCGAUUUUGACCUUCUGGUGUUACUCAUUUCGAAUGACUUUUUGGGUCUUUUUAGAGAGUUUGUCCUCAUUGGCCCUAUAUUAACUCAGCCUUGGUUCACCUGUGACAUAUUUCUCUUGGUUUUUUCUUCCAGUAUAGAUUUAUGUCUUGCUUGUCUUCUAUUGGUGUCAUUCAAGGACAAAUACGCAUAUUAUGUUUUUUUUAAGUUUAGAACAUUUAUUCUGAAUAUAGUGGUCCAGCUGGUGUGCUGCUCAUACACAUUGAAGGACCAAAAUUUACUGAACAGACCCCAUCAAGAUGGCUGACAAGUGCAUGAUUUUUUAUGCUUUGGAUUUUUAGUUGAUGAAAUUUAACAAAAGGUGGACCACUGACACAAUAAUUGCCUUGUUAUUAUCAUCUCAAGUGCAUUCAUAUGUCAAUUGCAUUUGCAUCUAUCACGUUUUACUCAAAGAAAUUCCCGUGAAAGUUCCAUUCUUCAGCAGAUAGUUUGGUGUAACUCUGCAAGCAGUUUGCAUGUGACCUGGUUCAUGUAUGAUAAGUGAAAGGAAAAUGAAAGAGAUAAAUGAAAAAUGCUCUUUUUUUCUUAUUUUCAUCCAACAAGUGAUUCCAGUUUGUUUUUUGUUUGAUUAUGGUAGAAUGUCUGAUAGCAUAAGAACUGAAACAGCCAUUUUAAUGUGGUGUUCAAUCAUGCAGAAGGGCCAUCCAAUAAUUUGCCACCACUUCCGUGGGCUGCGAGGUUGAAAAUUGUUCAGGGGACUGCAAGGGGUUUAAUGUACAUACAUGAAUACAGCCCUCGAAAAUAUGUUCAUGGCAACUUAAAGUCAACAAAAAUCCUUCUUGACAAUGAACUCCAGCCUUACAUCUCUGGGUUUGGACUCACUCGUCUUGUCUCUGGGACCUUCAAAUAUGCCGGUUCAAUAACCAAAAAGCUGAACCCAAACCAAACCAUUGCAACCUCUGCAAUGGGAUCAAGAAUUUCAACUCCUAAUUCUUACCUGGCACCUGAGGCUCGAGUAUUUGGAAGCAAGUUCACUCAGAAAUGUGAUGUCUACUCUUUUGGAAUUGUGCUAUUGGAGAUUUUAACAGGGCGGCUGCCUGAUGCUGGACCCGAAAAUGAGGACAAGGGAUUGGAAGGUCUUGUGAGGAAAGCAUUCCGAGAGGAGCGUCCCUUGUCUGAAAUCAUAGACCCAACACUACUAACGGAAGUUUAUGCCAAGAAGCAAGUGGUUGCGGCAUUUCACAUUGCUCUCAAUUGCACAGAACUGGAUCCAGAGCUGCGCCCUAGGAUGAGAAUUGUGUCUGAGAGUCUUGAUCGGAUUAAAUCGCGGUGAAAAAAAUGUUGGGAAGAAUGUUGUAAAGUUGUAUCAUUGUUGCUAACCCCUGGCUCCUGAAGCUGUUUUGGUUUUUGAUUCCUUGGAUGCAGGGUCAAUUCGGUGUAUGACUCGUCAGGUUAUUGUUGUAAUCAGAUGAGUUUUCUUUGAAUGUUUUGAUCUGUCCAUCUCUUGAAUGUCGUCGUGUGUAGAAAAGAUUCGAUAAUGUCCAAAAGUUGCAGGGAUGGGAGGGACAUGGUUAGCCGUUUGUACAAAUGACAAAGACAAUCAGCUAGAACAGGGCAAAUAGUUAGGAAAUCCUCAAGCACAACGACCUCUCAUGUCUCUGAUUCCUAAUGCAUUGAUAUCAGUAUCAAAAGCCCACAUACCAGGCAAAUGAUCAAUUUUAUUCAAAAAUACGUGAAUGAAACAUCAAGCCCAGCAUCGAAUCUGCCAUAAUCAGUAUCUUCCUAGUAACCUAAAGCCAAGUUGAUGCUAUGCUGCAUAUCAUCUACGUAGCCAUACGAAUUAGCCAGCCCACUGACAUUCUGCUUUAAUGACAGCAAAGAAGGGAAUUCUUGGAUUCUUUACUUUCUCGCUGUCAAAUGCUACAUGGAGUUGAAAAUUCCAGGUUAAUCUACAAUCCAAUCCCAUAGUUGCUACUUGUUUCAUUUAAAUCUCCGACAAGCUGCCCGUUCAAUCCUCUAACCACCAUCACCACUGUAGAGUACUCCCACAAUAAGAUUCAUGUCAAAUUUUUAUUCCUCUAUUAAUUUUUGCAUCUGAGCAUUCGGCUAGAAUGUAGGUGUACACAUCUAUUUGAACUAUAUUUUCUUUUUAAAAGAUUUUAAUAUAUUUUUACAUUAUUACAAUAUAUUCUUUUGUACAUGUAUAGGCAAACACUCUCUCUACAUAAAUUUUGUUUCUAUUCAAUAUAAAGCAGAAAAAUUUAGAUCCACUUAUAUUUUUUAGAGUUUACAUUUGAUGCACUGACAAUUUAUAUUUUUUAUACACUAAUGAUGCUACGUCAUUAUAAAAAUAAAUUUAAAAUUGGAAAAAAUUUAAAACUAAAUAUUGAUAUUUUUAAAAAAUUGCAUAAAACAUAAAUACAAAUUUCUUUUUUUUCUCUCUCUCUUUAACUCCCUUCCAACUAUGUUUUUUUUUUUUUUUUCUCUAUCCAACUCCAUUUUCUUCUUCCAUUAAGAAGAGAUUUGACAAAAUUGUGUAAUUUCAAAAACACUAAGAUAGUCAAGAUUUCAAAGUAAUUUUUAUUUGUUGGUUCCAGUGAUAUAUUUUUCAAAUGAUUUUUACAUUAAACUUAGGAUUACAGUAUGAUAUUAUUGUCUCCUUUCCAACAAUGUGAUAUAAUUCUCUCCUUCCCAACUAGAAGCUUUCAUAUUGAAAUUCCAGAUUUUAAUCAUCCAGAAUUCUCUUAUAAUUCUUAUACAUUUGAAAUCCAGUAAUUCCCACUGGAAAGAUGUAUUAUCAAUGCAUGGUUAAACAAUGAAGGAAAGUUGCUUCUUACCCGUUGUCCUGCAAUGGACAUUUGAUGUAAUUGUUUUUUAAAAUACUAAUAUUUAAUUUUAAGUCUUUAAAAGUUUUAAUUUUAUUUUUAUAAUGGCGUGACAUCAUUUGAUGGAUUUAAAUGACUCUUAUAAUAUGGCUCAAAGUCAAAUUCUUUUGAUGGAUCUAUUUCCCGCGUGACUCGUGACCCGUAUUUUUAGAUUUCAAGCUGACCUCCCCUCCCUUCAAAAAAUUUUAAAGAGAGGAUUCAUGUUGUUGCUCAUUUAAUUAAUCAUACUCCCACCGAAGCUUUACAUGGUCAAUCCCCACAUGAGAUUCUGUUGCAUAAAACAAUUCAUCAUCGUAUUUUUGGUUGCUUAUGUUAUGGACGUAAUAUCAAGAUUAAACACAAAUUUAAUCAACGUGUCAACCCUAGUAUGUUUAUUGGUUACCCCUUUGCUUAACAAUACUAUAUAUAAAAUUUAUGAUCCUAAUGGCAAAAAGGCUUAUGUUAAUGGGGAUAUAAACUUUUCAUCAUCAAGACAUCUUUUCCUUUUAUCUUCCCCUGAUCUUGACUUCUCUUACCCUAAACAAUACCAACCUCCAACCUUAUUGCAAGCAUCACCCUCGGACACAAUUGUCCCAUCAGCAUCCGUUUCCAAUGACAACAUUAACACUACAACCCCAACACCUCAAUCACUUACUUUUCCUCAAUAUCUUUUUCCUUGCCGAUCUCAACGACAACACCACCAGCCUUCCCACUUACAAGACAAUCAGUGCUCUAUUGCCAUGUCGGCGCCAUCUUCUUUGCCAUUAUGCUAUUGCCAUGUCUUCUCCAUCUUCUUCGCUAAUGCCUAGAGGUACUCUUUUUCCUCUUUCUUAGUUCUUUAUCUGUUGCCCAUUAACUGCACACAGUUUCAGUCAAGCAAUUAAGUUUCCCAAUUGGAGAGAUGCCACGCAUGAGGAGGUCAAAACUCUUGAGGCUAAAUAUCAAACAUGCUGUUUCGUUCCUUUUCCUACUGGUAGGAAAACUAUUAGUGCUAAAUGGGUCUUUAAAAUUAAGAGACACUCUGAUGAUACCAUAGAACGAUAUAAAGCCCGUUUGGUUACUUAAAGACUAUAGCCAAAUGUGAAGGUGUGGAUUAUCAUGAUACUUUUACUCCUAUAGCAACUAUUUGUGUGCUACUCACUGUUGUUGUUGUUGCAUGUCAUUGGCCUCUUCAUCAGUUAGACAUUCAAAAUGCAUUUCUUCAUGGUAAUUUAAAUGAAGAAGUUUAUAUGCAAUUACCUCUUGGGUAUUGACGUAGAAGGGAGAAUCUUCACAAGUCUUUAUAUAUAUGGACUUAAGCCAGUAUCUAGGAAAUGGUUUGCCAAGUUCUCUGCUACUCUUCUAAAUAUUAUUUAUGUCUCAUCCCAUGCUAUUGACUCAUUAUUCUACGAGUAUCAAGGUACAUCUUCUAUAUUUGUGGUUCUAUACUAUGGGAGUGUGUAAUUUUUCUUCCUACAUCAAAUGUAUGCCGUUGUGUCAAAUGUUAAUAGAUCUAUCAGAAGAGACAUAUUUACUCGUGUAGCAGCGAUUUGUUACUUGGCAACUGAACUCAAGGUUGCCAAAUGUGCAUGAAACGCACUUGGGAACUUAUCGUACAAUCUAAUCAGAGCAAGUCUAGCUUUAAUGCUUCAAUUAUGGAUGAAGACAAGCAAUGGGGGUUAGAGGAACUUGUAAGACAAAAAGAAGUGUGACAGGCAUCGAACGUGCUCCAUCCAAUAGGACCACUUCAAUGAUUGAAUUAGCAAGAACAACCAAAAAGAAAUGUUUAAGAGCUGCGAUGUCGUAGAGUGGGUGCUUGGUACCAAGGGUCGAAUGACUUAUUUUCAUUGUCCCCAUUCCUUGGUGUCAGAGACUGUCGCCAAUAAUUGACAGAGAUCAUCGGGGUACACUUCCUAGUGCUCUCUUCAUCUAUAGAUAUGAAUUGUCCAAAAUAAGGAAAGGAACGUAUGGCUAUGGAGGGCCUAAAGUUGUUGGUGAUUGAAGGAUUUUGUGGCAAAGAUUGAAGUGGUAGCAAAAUUGGAGAGACUUUGCACCUAAGCAUUAUUUCGGAUUUGGAGAUCCAAAGUUAUCCAAGUAUGAAGAAUGGAUACUGCAGUAGUACUUUGGUAAUCCAAAUGAAGAGCCAUAAAACCUAAACAGCACUUUCAUCAUCACCAAAACCAAAAGGCCCAUUGACUAAGCACAUCAUGAUAGUUUAAUGUUGUUCUAAUAUAAUAUAAAAGUUUCUCUUUCAAACUUUUAUGGUACAAUAAAUACUAAUUUUAAGCAUUAUUUUUAAAGAAAUAUUCUAAUGAUUAUGAAUUUAAGAUUUCAAUUUAAAAUUCUUCGAAUUUGAAUUUAAAAAAAAAUGAAAGAGUGAGAUUUAUAAGAUAAGAAACAGUUACCUCUUUCAUUAUAUUAUAAAAAUCAUAAAUUUUUGCGAUAAAAUUAUUUAUGUUUUUAAACAAGAGGAGGUUGAUACAUAGUUAGUCAUCCUUGCAGAUCCUAACAAAAAGUUGUAGUCCUCUUAUACGUUUUAAUUGCUCUCAAUAUUUAGAAUGUUUACAAGUUGUUUUUUUUUUUUCUCUCCUUUUCAAUGAAUUAACUUAUUAACUCAAAGGCACAUUUUCAAUACUUGGACCCAAAUUACACUUGUAGAGGUAAUUACUUCAACUAUUAAAUUAUAAGCGUUUUUUCAAAACGCCUACUAUUAAACAAUUCGAGCAAGAAACAAUUAGAGUUGCCUUUGAGUUAGGUGUGCAAUUCCCUGAAUCCAUCUGAAAUAAGUACAACCCAAUAAUCUUUGAAUACAUAAAUAAUGUAUUAUUAUUCAUAUAUGUAAUUUAAAAAUAAAAUUUUAAUACUGUUAUUUUACUAUAAUACUAUUACAAAAGACAAUUUAAACUCUAUGAACUUUCAGAUAUGCCAAAAUAAGUAAUAAAAUAUACUACAUUAAGUUCACAUUUAUGGGUAUGCCAAAGCAAGCUUUCUAAUGUCGAAGACUAAAGACAGCCAUCUAAGCCUAAUCUGAAGACGAUUGUAAAUGUCAAAAAAAAAAAACAAAGGAAAUUAAAAUUAGUACAAACUUAUUCUGAAAAGGCUAAAAAAACACUACCCUAAACUUAAAAAUUAAAAAAAAAAUGUGAAAGUGUAAUUUAUAUGAUUCCAACAUAAUGCUUGUGAAGAUGUAUUAGAUUAAUACGCUCAAUAUGGAUAAAUCCAAGAUGAGGUGAAUUAGGUUAUUUUGAAAUUUUUGAAAAACCUUUUUAAAUUUUUAACAAGGUAAAAUCUCCUUUUUAAUUCAAGUGCUCAAUUUGAAGAUAAACAAAGUAAUUGACCUCUUAAUCAAUAAGAAAAAAUUAAAUUUCAAGUAAAAGUAAGAGUUAAAAAAUCGACACGAGUAUUUUAUAAAUGUUCGACCUAUUUGCUUAUGUUCUCUCCUUUAGAUUCACUAAGGAGUUUAAAAUCCACUAUUUGAUCAAAGUUCAAUACAAUGCCUUUUAUGGAUCAAGCAUAACCUUUCAAUACAAUGUUUUUUUAUGGUUAAAGCACAACCAUUUUACCUUUUCUAUUGGUUAAGACAUAACCAUUUAAGCAAGUACAAUAAGAGGAAUAUAAGUGCAGCUAAUAUGCCUCUUAAAGGUUGAAUAGAGAAUUUGGUACAAUGUUUAAUGAAAAUGUGAGAACUCAAUAAAUGCUGAGCUAUAAGACUUUAAGGAUUCAAGAAGAGUACAAUGAGUUUAGAAUGAGUUUUGGUUGAUUCUUCUCUCUUGAGCUAUGUUUUAAAGUCUUUCAACCUUCGUAAAUGCUGAGGAGGCUUGUGUUUAUAGUUGUUGAAGCUUCACAUGAAAGUAGCCGUUCUUUUCUUCAUUCAAGGCUCCAAUGGUCAUAUUAUAUCGAUACAUAUGUGGAUGUAUCGAUACAUUCCUUUUUAUUUUUGAAUUAUGUUGAGAUGUAUCGAUACAUUUGUAUAUGUAUCGAUACAUUUGAACUUUUCUGCAAAGGUUUUGAUAUUUUACUUAAAAUUUAUUGAUACAUUUAUUCAUGUAUCAAUACUUUUGACGCAGUGGUUUUCUAUUGCAUUUCUAUUGAUAUAUUUGUCAAUGUAUUGAUAGAAUGAGUUUGACUUUUUAGUUUUUGACUUUCUUCAAGAACAUGUAUCGAUAGACUUUGAAAUCUAUCGAUACUUGUCCAAAACCAUCGAUACAUGAAGAAUAUGUAUUGAUAGAUUUGGACUAGAAUGCGUUUUUCAAAGCCUUUUUCAUUGUUUUUCUUUUUCAAACUCAUUAGACAUCAUUUGGAGAUUUAAGAACUUGACAUUCGAAGACUUGGAUGAAUUUUGAUCAUUUCAAAACAUAAAAUUAAUUUGAAUACUAUUGAGCUAACAAUCUCCUCCUUUUUCAUAUAACAAAAGCAAUGAACAAAAUUUGUUAAAAGAAAUCGAUUUUCUUGACUUUUGAAGAUCUAAGGAUUAUUUGUAAUUUUGAUUACCUUUAUAGUUUUUUCUCAUAAACUUGCUAAACCUCUUGGCUAGUAUGGCUAUGUCCUCAUCUUCUUCAUUCUCAUCUCUUAUGUUUCUCUCAUCUUCUUCAAUUUUAGACUUUAGAGCUAUUUUUGUUAUUGGCCUUCUUCUUUUCAUCAUCUAAAGUAUUCUCAUGUUUUAUUGUUAUCUCAUAGGUAAGUAGAGAUUUUAUAAGUUCCUUUAGUUUGAAAUCAUUUAGAUUUCUUGCUUCAUCUAUGGCUGUCACUUUUGGUCUCCAUGACUUGAAAAGAUUAUAAAGUAUCUUUUUGACUAAUAGAGCAUUUGGGAAGUCUUUUCCUAAGGCUUUCAAUCUUGCAACUAUGUUUGUGAAUCUCUCAUACAUUUGAUUUAUGGUCUCAUUUUCUUUCAUCCUAAAUAGCUCGUAAUCAUGUGUGUAAAGUCCUAUCUUGGUACAGUGUUUUUAAGCUGUGUUUUGAAUGAGUUUUGGUUGAUUCUUUCAUCCUAAAUAGCUCGUAAUCAUGUGUGUGAAGAGUAUAAUGAGUUUUGAAUGAGUUUUGGCUGAUUAUUCUCUCUUGAGCUGUGUUUUUAAGUCUUCCAACCUUCAUAAAUGCUGAGGAGGCUUGUAUUUAUAGUUAUUAAAGCUUCAAAGGUAGUUGAGAGUGCAUUUAAUGUGAAAGUAGCCAUUCUUUUCUCCAUUCAAGGCUCCAACGGUUAUAUUGUAUCGAUACAUAUGUGAAUGAAUCGAUACAUUCAUUUUUAUUUUUGAAAUUUCGCUGAGAUGUAUCGAUACAUUUGUAUAUGUAUUAAUACAUUUGAACUUUCCUACAAGGGUUUUGACAUUCUGCUUAAAAUGUAUCGAUACAUUUAUUCAUGUAUCGAUACUUUUAAGGCAGUGGGCAAUCUGCUACAUUUCUAUCAAUAAAUGUAUCGAUAGAAUGAGUUGGACUUUUUAGUUUUUGACUUUUUUCAAGAACAUGUAUCGAUAGACUUUGACAUAUAUCGAUACUUGUCCAAAUGAAUCAAUACAUGAAAAACAUAUAUCGAUAGAUUUAGAUCAAAAUGCAUUUUUUAAAGCCUUUUUCAUUAUUUUUCUUUUUCAGACUCAUUUGACAUCAUUUGGAGAUUGGAGAACUUGACAUUCGAAGACUUGGAUGAAUUUUGAUAAUUUCUUUUUGUCAUUUCAAAAUAUAAAAUUGAUUUGAAUUCUAUUGAGCUAACAACAUGUUUGAAAUAAUUUAUAUAAAUGGAAAGAAAUAGAUACCAAAUCAAAUUCCACCUUCUCUCUUAACAUUUUGAUUUAUUAUAAAAUAGAAUAAAUAAUAGAUAAAUAUUCACGUGUAAUUCCACUAAACAAAAACAAUAGAUGAGGAUGUACUCAAAUUUACUUACGUAUUAAAAUAAGUUUGUGGUGAAUAAAACAAUUAGGAUAGAAAACAUGAGAAGAUCCUAAAAAGAAGGAGAAAAUGAAAGAGGCAAGUGGGCAUUGGAGUGUGGUUGAAUUGGUGCCCAGGUAUCUCUCUCUCAAAAGUAGAAAAAGGAGAGUUGAAGCCAAAGACCAUAAAACCAAGAGAUAUUUGCUUAAAUUAGAACAACUUUUUAUAAUCCUGUUUGGGAGAUAUAAAGCCCCAAAAGUAGAAACGAGUCUAGUCUUUUAGAAUUGGCAUUGAAGCAAAUGCCAUCUCACGUGUCUUUGUUUCCCUCCACUCAAACACUACCCUUUUACUUAACUUUAAUGGGGGGCCUUCCUUCAAUGUCCCCCCGAGCUUUGUUCUUUUUUUUUUUUUUUUUUUUGCUUUAUAACGCAACUGGGGACCACAUUGAACUCAUUCUCAUUUUCUUAAUGACGCUUAGAUCAGAUUCUAAGAUUAUUCAAGUGAUGCAAUUACUUCAUUUACAUUCUCAUUAAGUUUUACUCUUUUUUAUUUUUUGACCCUUUAUUAGGAGAUCGUUUAAAAAAUGUUAGCUCUCUCCUAAUCUCGUUUUUUCUUUAAAAGGAGAAAUAACCAUAGGAUAAUAAGCUAAUGCUAACAUCCUUUGACAUAUUAACAGCAGGUUUGGAGGUGCCACACAUUUUGGUGGAAGCCUUUCCUCAUCGUACUUGUUACAAAUCUUAUAUUAGUAAAAAAUGAAAUGGGUCUUGAAAAUAUAAAAAUAAAUUUUUUAUUAUUUAUCAGACAUAUUUUUUGAGUUGAAAAUAUAGACCUCAUGAUUUAUAAGUUUACUUAAACUAUAAUUUUAAAAUUUAAAGUCGUACAAAUUAGACUUAAGUUUCGGCCCAUAAUAGUACUCCCCUCCCUAAAUGAGUCUAAUGCCACUGCAAUUACGAGUGUUUUCGACCCGUGACAAUACUACCCUCCCUAAAUGGGUUUAAUGCCACUACAAUUACAUAAUAUUUGAUAGGAGAAAAAUAAGAGUACAUUUCCUAUAAUAUACCUAAUUAAAUUACAUUACACUGUUUGUUUUAUAACAAACCACAAUAAUAAAAAAUUACAAUGCAAUCACAUUACAACUAAUGGAUCUAAUGUGAUUGCAAUCCAAAACUAAUGUACUUAGAUUGCAUUGCACUCUAUAAUAUUAUUAAAAAUAUUUUUACUUUUUAAAUUUGUUACUUUGUUAAAAAUAUUUUGCAAUAUUAUAUUUGUUUUUAUAUAUAUAGAUUUUAAGGGAUGUCUUUUUAUUAUUCUCAUUAGUCUAUGACUAUCAAAAAAAUUUAUAUUAUCUUUUAAAAAAAUUAAAAUAAAACAUAUAAUAUAAAAAAUUGUAUUAAGAAAUGAAAAUAAAAUAUAAAAAAUUAUAAUAAAAAUAAAAAUAAAAUAUAUGACAUUAAAAAUAUAUUUAAGAGAUGAUAUUAUAUAAAAAUUAAUAAUAAGAAAAUACAAGUAUAUUAAACUUAUAUUUUAAUAAAUAAAGGUAAUUUUAAAAAUUAAUAUUAUAUUUUCAAUAAAGUACUUGUAAACAAAACAUUGUAAUAUUACCUUGUUUGUAUUUUAAUCAUUACUUUGCUUAUAUACCAAACACUAUAAUAUUAUCUUCCCUACAAUUACAUGGCUUAUAAUCACGUUACUUGCAAUCACAUUAAGGUAGUGUUUGAUACUUUACAAUGUAAUGUGAUUAGAAAUAAUGUGAUUGCAAGUAAUAUGAUUGUAGGGAACAUAACAUUGUAGUAUUUGAUAUAUAAGCAAAGCAAUGAUUAAAAUGCAUAGAAGAUAACAUUGCAACGUUUGGUUUACAAGUACUUUAUUAGGAAUAUAAUAUCAAUUUUCAAAAUUAUCUCUAUUUAUUAAAAUGCAAGUUUAAUAUACUUGUAUUUUUUAUUGUUAAUUUUUAUAUAAUAUCAUCUUUUAAAUAUAUUGUAAAUAUCAUAUAUUUUAUUUUUAUUAUAAUUUUGUAUAUUUUAUUUUCAUUUUUUAAUAUAAUAUUUUAUAUUUUAUUUUAAUUUUUUUAAAAGAUAAAAUAAAUUUUAUUUACAAUCACCAUGACUACUAAGAAUAAUAAAAAAGCCAUCCUCAAAAUCUAUAUAAAGAAAAUAAAUUAUAACAUUAUAAAAUAUUUUUAACAAAAUAACAAAGUUAAAGAGUAAAAAUGUCUUUGAAAUAUUGUAAAGUGUACUGCAAUCUGAUUGCGUUAGUUUUAGAUUACAAUUACAUUACAUCCAUUGACUAUAAUGUGAUGGUAUUGUAAUUUUACAUUGCAAUGGUUUGUUGCAAAACAAAUACUGCACACCUAUAAUCAUGUUGCAUUAUAAAGUACUAAACGUCACAUUCACUUUAAUUUAUUUUCUAUAGAGAUGAGAAAUUGUUAAUUUUUUCAUUUGUUUAAUCAUAAUAAAUUUGAAAAACAAAAAAUGAAAGAAAUUCUCUUGCAAUUUCUCUAGUAACUCCUAUCUUUUGUAAACAAAAAUUUUGAUUUUUUUUUUCAGAAUACAAUUAAAAUAAUGUAAUGACGUACAAACACAUAUGUACAAUGAACAUACAAAAUUAAGUAAUUUACUAAUUCAAUGAUUAUACUUUAAAGUUUUACAUUAUAACCAAACUUUGUAGUUCAUAUAAGAUCUUUUUUGUUUUCUAAAUUUCUAUCAUACUUAGAUGCUUCCCUUACCCUUUCUUUUUUCCAUCCAAAAUUCUAAUUUUCUUCGGGGAUUCUUGCAUUUAAGAAAGCAAAAAAAAUCUUUCUCACACCUUUGACCUUCAAAUUUUAAGCAAAGACAAUUAGGCACCUCUAAAGAAGAUUAAGAUCUAUCACUCCCCAUUAAUGUCCAAAGUAGUUGUAAUUGAUGUUUUAAUACUAUAAGAAAUAUAUAAAAAGAAUACUGGACUUUUGUCUGAUUUUAUUUUAUUAUUUUACUCUGAAAAGAUAUUAUUUUGUCCAUCCACCUAUAUACAGUUGUGGAACAAGCAUAAAGGCAUGAAGGAUUGACCAAUCACAUGCACAAUAAUAAAGAAAUAUUUUUAUAUAUAAAUAUAUAUAAAAUAGGAUCCAACAUCCAUGUCUAAUACAACUGAAAUAAAAUUUUUAUGCUUUUUACCCUCUUCUUGGUCAAAAAAUACUUUGAUUCUAGAUUAUAUACCAAAGUACCUAUCUAUUAAACACAUGGUAGAUGAAUCUCUGGCCAUUUAAGUGUUUUAACUUCCUAGUUUAAGCUGAAAGUUGCCUUCUUUUUUUUUUUCUUUUUUGAGAAAGGGAAAAAGCAACAAGAAAGACAAAAACAAAAUGGAAUGGCAAGUUGGUAAAUCGAAGAGCAAAUGAGUGGUGAUGAUGGAAGCUGAGAGUGGAAAGACGGCGCUUGUUUAUAAAAGUUGUGAUGGGAUGGGAUGGGAUGGGAUGGGAAGGAAGGAAGGAAAAAGGUGAAAGGGAAGGGAGGAGGGGGAAUCAGAUACGGCAUAAAUCAGGCGCUCACGGGUGACGUCAAGGCGUUGUCACGGACCAAUAGCUUUCCUUUCUCGUGUGGCUUCCGCCUUAUCCCCGUGGUUUCUGUUCCACCGCGCAACACUAUGCCCGAUGUUUAACACUCCCUUCCACCCUUUUCCCAUUAUUUUAUUCCCCGCUGUAACCACUCCUACGACUCCCAUUUGUUCGGGUUCCUUUUUCUUUUUCACUCCCUAAUGUUUAAUCCUUUCAUGCUUAUACAUUUAACUGCAUUUCAUUUCAAACAAUACUGUAGUAAUUUUUAUAAUUUUACCCAAAGUAUUGAAACAAUAUUCUUCAAAGUCUGGGGGCCUCCUCUGUAAUUCUCUUGUGACAAUGGCAUCUUAUGAUUAGGUCAAGUCAUUUUAUGUUGCACUUUGCUUAUUAAUAAUGUAUAGUCCGAGGGUAGGACAGAGAAAAAAAAAAAGAAGAGAAGAGGAAAUUCCUUACACCAAAUUGUUGUUUCUUUCCUAACAAACGGUGGGUAUUACAUUGAGACUUUGAUUAGUAUUGAACAAUUUAAAAUUUGAAAAAAAAAUUCAUAGUUAUGUUGAAUAAAAUGCUCAAGCUCAACUAUAAAAUGAUUUUGAGUUUAAUUCAUUAAUCUUAAAUAGAUUAUACAUAAUCUUAUAUAUAUAUUUAAAUUUAAAGAAAGGCGGAUUCGAACAUGUUCAAUUUCAUUUAUCAAAUUAAAAUAUAUAUAUUGUGUAAACCUAAAAUAGUAAAUAACAUAUAUAAUUUCAAAUUUUUACAAGAUAAAAAAAAAGAGAAGUUUUAAAAUGAAAAAAAGAGAGAUUAAUUUGGUAAAUGGAAAGGGCCAAAUACUAAAACAAAAAAAAGACAUAAACUAAGCUUAGCUGUGGAUGAAGGGAGAAGCUUGGGUGUGAUGGCUCUCCCUGUACUUUUCCAUUGUCUGCAUUCAACCCAAAAGCGAAGAAGAAGAUAAAUAUCGCCUCCUUUCUUCUCUCUCUUCCCUAUUGCUAUCAACACCGCUCUCUCUCUCACACGCACACAUUAGAUCUUCCUUGCUUUUGGUGCUGUGAAAAGCAAAUCUGAGGCUCUUGUUAAUCUUCGUUCCUUCUCUUUCUCUCUCUUUCUCUUUCGCUCUUCUUUCACAAAAUCUAUCUUUUUUUUUAUCUGAUCCAAAUCUUCAAAAACCUUCAAGUUCCAUUUAUUUACGCUUUCAUUUUCUCUUUAUUGGGUUUUUUUUUCCUUUCGCUUGUUAACUUCUUAUAUUGGGAGCUUGGGAUUUAAAGGGCUUGAAAAAAAAAGCUGCUUCUUUUAGUUGCUUCUUCUUCAAGAUCUUAUCUCUCUCUGCUUACAAAUCAAGCUGAAAAUUUUCUCCCUGGAAAUUGAUGCUAAAAUUCCCUCAGAAUUUUCCUCUUGGUUUUAAAGGACGUCGACUUGAGCUACGUAGAAUGGUUCUCUAGCUUAAAGUUCUUUGCAGAAAAAGAUAUAACAGAGUAAAACAGCGCAGAACAGGGGAAAUAUAAAGGAAGUUUCAAUGGAUUCAAGUACCCAUCAAAGCCAUCAAAACCAAAACAACCAGCCCAAUUCAGGGUUAUUACGUUUUCGUUCAGCUCCAAGCUCUCUUCUUGCUAAUUUCACCAAUAACCUUGAUUGUGGGGUCAAUAAAGGCAGUUUCGAGUCAGACAGAUUGAUAUCCAGAUUCAUGAAUUCAAGCGGCGGCAACAGCGAAAUCGAGGAUAAAUCUGGGACAGAGGUCGGUGUUAACUAUGCGAAUUCGCAGCAGAGUUAUUCAGGGUUACCGCCUCAUUAUCCGAGGCAGAGCUCUGCCGCGAGCUCCUCUGCUAUGGAUAGCUCAUACGAGUUGUUGGGAAUGGAUCAUCACAGUCCAGGGAAACCGAUUACUUCAAGUCUAAUGAGACAAAGUAGCUCGCCUCCAGGGCUUUUUACCAACUUGUCUGUUCAAAAUGGUGUUGUUCUUGUUCUCAUUUAUGAUUAUCAGUUUUUUUUGUUGAGGUUUUUAAUGCUUUUUCUGGGACAUUUUUGGUUGGUAGUUUAGACUUAGUUUUACUAUUUUGGCAGUUGUCUUUCUUAUCAUUUACGAUUAGAGAACGACCUAUGCCCAUUAAACUUUUAAAGUUAGCAUUUUGGUUGUGCUAGAUAGAUUUGGUGUUGAAAUAUGGAUCUAGCAGCUGAUAAUAAUUAAGCUUUUUGUAAAUUAAAAUAUAGACCACUCAGUUAAUUUGGUUGCUUAGUCUUUACUAAUAGUUAGAUUGAGUUUAUACUAAUAUUUGAUUGGGGAAUUUUAUUUCACGUAUAUAAAUCAAUAAUUUUUUUUUCUUUUCUUUUCCCCACCUUAUGUGGUUGCAUAUAAGUUAACCAGUGAAGCUCUUAUUGGUAAGAGAGGAGAUUUAAGGAAUUCUUUGAUAAUUGUUUUUGAAUUUCUGGUUGGUUAUGGAGGAACCAGAACCAGAGGUAAAAGAGAAGAAAAUAUAAUCCAUUCUUCUAAGAAAAUGGAUUUAAAAUCCUAUAGGUCAUGUAGAGUUAGAAUAGCAUGGGAUUGGCGACUUAGAUUCCAUUAAUGCUAAAUUACUGUCCAACUUUUAAAAUUCCGCAUAAAUUUUCUCACAAACAAAAUAUUUAAUGGAACCUGGACAUUUGAGGUUGUAUUGUGAAUCCAUUGUUUGUAAUGUGAAUCCAGAAAACUUAGUACUGAAAAUGUCUUCAGUAAAUUGCAGGCUAUGCCAGCAUGAAAGGUCUGGGAAACUACUGUGGGGUUAACGGUACUAAUGGAGAAUUAAGUCCAUCUUCAAACAGAUUGAAGAAUCAGAUUUGCUUCUCAUCAAGACUACCUUCUUCCUUGGGCAUGUUGUCGCAGAUUUCUGAAAUUGGCAAUGAAAGCAUUAGGACUGAUGGUCCUGAUGAUGGCAAACUUGGAAAUAGCAACAGUGAUGCUCGAUUCUAUGGCACUGGAUACCAAUAUGGUUCUUGGAAUGAUUCUGCACACCUCACAAAGAAUUUUUCUGGCUUGAAAAGGGCACAAGAUAAUGACCGGAAGUUCUUUUCCACUAACCAGGUAUAGAUUUGCCUAUCAACUCUAGCUUUUCUUAAAUUCCUCAAAAAAGUUAUAGCUUUCUUAAUUAAUUCUCUGUUGCUACAUCGAUUUUAACUUUUGAGUGCUUCUUUAUCAAUAGAAUGGAGAUCUUGGAAAUUGUGUUCAUGUAUUAUCUCACCACUUGAGUCUGCCGAAGACUUCAAAUGAGAUGGUUGCCAUGGAGAAGUUUCUACAUUUUCAAGAUUCAGUCCCUUGUAAGAUUAGAGCUAAGCGUGGUUGUGCUACUCAUCCUCGAAGCAUUGCAGAAAGGGUAAAAAUCCCUACAUUUCAAACCUGUUAUAGUCCUGCUCUUACUAAUUGCCUCCUGAUCGGAUAUCAAGCGAUAAUUUCAAAUUUCACUGUAUUUUAUAUGAUAAGAGAUCAAAUUAGAAAUGAUCAAAUUAUUCUAAUACAUAUGCAAAAGCAAACGAAUAUAGAAGUAUGCUUACACACACAGGCAACUUAAGAUUUUUGUAGCUACAUUGUUUGUACAAAAUUUGUCCAUUUCAUAAAGUGGAAUAUAAAGGGUAAAUUACUUUCAGGUGAGAAGAACCCGGAUCAGUGAACGGAUGAGAAAGCUACAAGAGCUUGUCCCAAACAUGGACAAGGUAUGAUUUUUUCCUUGCGGUUUUGGGCAGAAAAUUCCUGUCUGUGAAACUGAUUGUUUCAGGGUUUCAUGUUGGCAGCAAACAAAUACAGCAGACAUGUUAGAUUUGGCAGUGGAGUACAUCAAGGACCUUCAAAAACAGUUCAAGGUACCAGAGGAGAGCCUAAUCUUCGAACUAAACAUUCUUUUCUGGUACUCUUUUUUCAUCUUACAGUUGCAAUGAUAUUCUUUUGCAGACUCUUAGCGACAAUCGUGCAAACUGCAAGUGCUUACAUAUACAGAAGCCGGUCGCUAAUCAAAUUGUAUGAUUUGCUUUGGUGUCUGUACAAAGAAUAGGGAAAGUAACGGAGAGAAGGGGACAGAAUUUUGAUCUGAAUCGUUGAUCUUUCUGAUGUGCUGAACCAAGUAUAAAGGAAGUUUUAGGUUUUUCUUUUUGCCCUUUUGUGAUGUAGAAAGUAUGGUUGCAUUUCCACCACAAGAUUCCAAAAUCCUGUAAGCUAACAAAGCUUCCCACUUGAAGAUAUAUGGAAUAAAGAGAAAGUUGUAUAGGACAUGUUUUUGUAUUGCAUUCCCCAUUAUCAUUUCUCACUUUGAAAUGUGAUUCGGUUAGUUUUCAAGAGUCAAUGAUUUUUAGUUGAAAUUCCCUUUUUAAGGUGCGGCUAGCUUCUAUAUGUUGAUCAUCCCACGUUGGGUAAGGCAUUAGUAUGGCCCUGGAACCAACCUUAUCCUCAAAGGACGCUAUUGAAUGCAAAACCAGUUGCCCGAUCUGACGAAUUUCCUUUCUUUAUGUUGCGGAAAGAGAGUCAUGCAAGGAAAUAGUCAAGGAAAUAGAUUCUGUCAAAAACGAUGAGCGCGGAAACCAAUCAAAUACUGUUUAAUUUUUCAAUGUAUGCGCAUAUAUAUUGAUUUCUAUAUAGUACUAUAUAUUUCCUAGUUGUGUGUUUGAGUUUUACUAGUCAUUUCCGUAUAGUAAUAUCGUAUUGAUUUUUAUGUAUCAUUUAAUUUUAAAAGUUGUGUUAAAAUUCUUUAGUUUUUAUUUUCUACUUUCAUCUUCUACUCAUUUUAUCUUUAGUUUCAAAUUUUGAACUUAAUAUUCUGUAGGAGAAAAAUAGUUUUCUUUCAUCUUUUAAUUUUUUUAAUCUUUAAUCUCAAAUUUAAACUCUGCUUUAUCAUUUUUUAAAAUAAAAACCAGGAUUUUAAGAUCAUUGGCAAUAAAUAGUUAAUAUUAAUAUUUUUUAUUGGCCAAAGAGAAAAUUUACAUUAAAGACAAAAAAGAAAAAAGAAAGGUAGGCUCAUGACAUGAAGUUUAAAAAGGAUCCGCACCAAAAUUGGGUGUCCAUGCAACACACCAAAACAUUUCUUCUAAAGUCGCAAUAGGCAAAAACCGUUAAAUGGGUCCCGCACUGACCGUUGGUGUUGGCUUUCUCCUUCACCUCUUAACAGAAAGCCUUUCAAUAAAUCCACCAUGAACAGAAGCCUCUGAUCUUUCUUCCUCUUCCUCCUCCUUCCUCAAACCCUAACCCUAACCCUAAUUUCCUGUUUUCCAUCGUCACCUCUUCCCACUGCCCCACAAUUCGCCCUUUUUCCCUCCUCCACAUUUUUGUCUUGAUCUUAUGAUAGUGCCAUGCAAAGCUUCAUUUCUUAUGUUUACCAGAUCCGCAUGAUUAAUCUUAACCGCCUUUUCUGUGUGAUUUAGUUAUUGUGUUUUAUCAUCGAAAUAACCUGUGGGUUUUGAGUGGUGGAUCAAUUCGAGAGGGGAAUUUUGAUUGGGUGGUGACCAUGUCAAACUUUUAUGGGGAUUACAAUCAAAAGAUUGAUUAUGUAUUCAAAGUGGUGUUGAUAGGCGAUUCAGCAGUUGGAAAAUCUCAGCUUCUGGCACGUUUCGCGAGGAACGAAUUCAGUGUGGAUUCAAAAGCCACAAUUGGUGUUGAAUUCCAGACUAAAACACUUGCCAUUGAUCACAAGACUGUUAAAGCACAGAUUUGGGAUACUGCUGGCCAAGAAAGGUAAAAGUUUUUCUUAUAUAUGCCCGAAAUUUUCAAUUUGUUAAUUUCCAUAAUUGCUAGAUUUGAUGGAAAGAAAGAAUUAGAGUAGAAAAUGCCAAGGGAUGAUUAUAUUUUGUCUUUUUACCUAUCCAAGGAACAAUUAAAUAAUUAAGCAGAAUGCGUUUCAUCAUUUCAAGCUAAGAAAAUUAGGAAAAUAUAUACAUUGGAAGUGAGGUAGAACUGCGUCUAUGAUGUAGGGGGUGGAAUAAGAAUAAGACAGGAAAGUAAUAUCUUUAUGCAUUUUGUAAUGACGAAUUAGUGGUGCUCCAGGCCUCCAGCCUAUUGCGACAUUCUGGAGAUGAUGAUAUAUUGGUUGGUUGAAGACCACUAGUCGAAGCCAAGAAAUUUGGUAGCUUGAGAUUUUCUAAUUAUUGGUUAAUGUGAGGCAGAUCUUUAUGUUGCUUCCCUUUCAAUCAAAGGAGUAAUGACAAUGGUAAGAUUGUUUAGUGUGGACUUAAGUGUUAGAAUUUCUAUCAGUGAUUUGAUCCUAAUGCUGGUUUGAAAUCGUAAAGUGCAAUAAUAUAGCAGCUGAGCUGCUAAGAAAUACCACUUUCCAGGUUUUCUCAUGUUCUGGGCACUCUAGGAAUGGUUUUAGGUGGAAUUUAACAGGAAAAUUCUUGGUCCUCCAAUAAAGACUUAAAUUGUUGGUGUCAUUGUUGUUGAAGGUACAGAGUCAUUUUCUAACAAUUAGAGAUCCUACAACGUUUUCAGCUGAGAAGAGAUAAUGAAAUGCAAUGGCCAGUCACUGAUGCCGUUGUGCCUUUUUCUGACAGUUUCCCUAGUUAUAAGCCCUUGUUAUUCUCUUCCACCCGGACAAAAUUUAAAUUAGAAAAGAAGAAGAAAGAAGCAAAGAACUAUUUGAUCCCCACCAGUAAAACAUCAAGAAACAAUGAGAAUGAAGACCUUCCAGAAACAUGUUGGAGUGUUGUUUCUGUCUCUUAUGGUUACAAUGCCAACAUUACAGGAAUUAGUGAAACAGUUUCCAUGUAAUUUAUGAUGCUAAUAAGCUUUUCUUCUUUCAUUUAUGAUGGCAUGGUACUAUAGUUUUCUCAAGAGUACAUCAAAGUUACUGCUUCGGUAUUUUCUGACUUUGUGAAUUGUUUGUUUAAACUUUAUGGUUUAUUUAUUGGGCUGGAUUUGUUCAUCAAACAAGCACAUAAAAAGGAUUGCAGCCUAGUAUCUUACUGUCCUGGGAUCUUAAUUUAUAGCUGCACCAUUUUACUCAAUCUUGAACCCACUGCAUGAUGAUUACUGUUUCUUGUGUCUAUGCUUUAACUUAGGGAAAAGUUUGAUUUUUACUCUGCAGAAUCCCUCAUGUCAUUAGGUAACUCAAAUUACCUUUACAUAUAGACAUAGGCAGUCUGGCUCGCUCCCUGAAUUUCAGUGAUAUGUGUUUCCAUUCAUCUGCAUUGCCAAGUUUCUAACAAGAAUAUCAUCUUGCUCCUCCAUGACAUUUGACAAUCCUUAUUCUGCUUUCUGUUUCCUUCUUUGUCUUGGUCAUGAGCAUUCCAUCUUUUCCAUCAAUGGUAUCUUCAUUUUGAAUGUAAACUCAGUUAUAGUUUUGAUAGCUCAUUAAAAUUCUUCCUGAAUAUAUUUCCUCAUGAAGGAUAGGGGAUCUGAUUAGAAUGAAAUCUCUUAGAAGUGUUUAUCAUAAAAGAUUCUACUUGGUCUAGUUGUAACCAGGCUUGUUAUUCUUGUCUCCUACAUGACGCUAGUUUUGAGAUGUGUGAUAAAUUUCCUUCCAUUUCACCUGAACAACACCAAAGUCUCAUCAUUGAGUAUGCAUGCUACACAUUAUGCUGUCAAUACUCACACUUUUCACUCUUACAUACACUACAAAACAAGAGAAUGACUUUCAAAGGUUGCCCUAGCAUUCCAACUAUCAAUUUUAUUUACCCCAAAAAACGUCUCUAUAGUUUUUCCGAGAGAUAUACUACAAAAACUAUAUACAUGAUAUUCUUUGAGGUCUUGUAUUCUUGAGAUGCUCCUUGAAUCUGUGCAGGACCAUGAAAAAUUUUCUGUUUGCAUCUAGAAAGUCUAACUGAAAUGUGCAUACAUCCUUUGUAUCUUUGGCAAUCUCUUUUCCUCCUAUUUAUCCUCAAGAUUGCUUUGUCUUAUCCAGAACAAAAGCCCAUUGAGAAAUGUUAAAAGCUCAGAUGAGUUGGCCACACAUUUUAUCCUGAUAUUUUGCUAUGCAAUUCAAUUACUGAACAUCUAUUUUGGGUCACUUAACUGCCAUUGUGGUAGCUAUCUGCUAUUUUUGUGUAUGACCAUUUGCACAAGCACAUGCAUGCAUGUAUUAUCUACACUCUGCAUAUGUGUCUUUUUACAUGGAUGUCUAUACACGUUUGCAUGCAAUUCAAUAUGCAUGCUUGUAUGCAUAUAACUCAUACUAAAUAAUUCUAUAUCCACAUUUAUAAAAUCCAUGUUAAUACUUGGUCAUAUCAUAUCAUAUUCUAUAUCAACUAUUUAAUUUCGGUAUGUUUUUACAUGGAUGUCUAUACACGUUUGCAUGUAUUAUCUACACUCUGCAUAUGUUUUUACAUGGAUGUCUACACUGCAAAGCCACUCUCUCCACUCCAUUACUUGAGCACAUGGUAGAGCACAUAUAGAAACUCAUGUUCCAAUCAUGCAGGAAGUAACAGAAGAAUACUGUGUUUUGUUAUUCUUAUAAUUGACUUGCCAACAAAAUAAGCAUUGUGAUUUGGUUUGAAAUUGUUUUGCUUUAGUGAAUCUAAUAGCCCUGAAGUUAUUGAACAACUAUAGAAGUUUUCCUGUUAGACUAGCACUGAACAAGAUAAGCAGAAUUUUAUACUAUGAUAUUGCUUCUUUCUUUCAUUUUUUGUCUCAGUCCAAUGGCCUUAAAUUGACUGGAAAUUUUGGUGAUAUCGUAAAUUGUUAAGCAUAUGAUGAUAUAGAGAAUUUUGGCACCUGAAGGGAGAAUAAAAAUCAUAAACAAACACUUGUGCACAACAAAGUAGGUGAUAGAAAAUUGCUAAAGAUUCUUGUCAUUUUUGCAUUUUAUGUUGCCGGAGAGAAUUGUUGUUAAGCUAAUGUUCAUGAAUCUGGUACUGUCAUCUUUACUCAUGCAGAUUGUUGCUACAUUGACAAGCAUACUUAGUUCAUUUUUUGAGAUUUCUAUGGCAGUUCAAGCAAAUCAAUGAGAUUGUCUGAUAGAUUUAUGACUAUUUAAAGUGAAAAAAAGUGAGUAUUUAUCUGAAAAGAUCCACAAGUUCUGCAGGAAUCAGAUUGAAUCUAUAAAAGAACCCGUCAUUCUUUCCUUUAUGCAGUAUAUGUAUGCUGGCAAAAUUUCAUUAUCGGUGAUGCGCAUUUCAUCCAAUAUAAUAAUGAAUUGCAUCUUAUUAGUUCAUUCAACAAAAAUGAAACGAAGAAAUUUGAUUGAUUAAUUUGUUUUGCAUUUUCUUCCCUUACCCAUUGAUGAUAACAAUUACUUUGCUUUAGAAGACUAGGCACAUAGUAAGUAACAAUUAGAGUGCUAAUCUUCUUUUUUGACACGGUGAUCAUAGAGCUCGCAUAUACUAUGAGAACCUAGUUAAAAUUAAAUCGUUUUCUCUGACAUCUGUAUAGUUGCUUUGGAUUCACACAGUAUUUAGUCAUUUUAGUGUGUAUAGAUUAAGACCAAAGUAACACAGCAAUGCCUGAUGCAUUUACAAGCUCUUGGACUGUGUUUGUUGCAUCAAGCAAUUGCAUUUUAUUUCCUUCAAAUUGAAUGGUUUGCUGAAGGCUCCUUCUUUCUGUUCUCCUAUCAGGUAUAGGGCGGUGACAAGUGCAUACUACAGAGGAGCAGUAGGAGCGAUGUUAGUGUAUGACAUGACCAAGCGCCAAUCGUUUGACCACAUGGCAAGGUGGCUAGAGGAAUUGAGGGGGCAUGCUGAUAAGAAUAUCGUAAUCAUGCUUAUUGGCAACAAGUGUGACUUGGGAAGUCUGAGAGCAGUGCCAACUGAAGACGCACAAGAGUUUGCUCAAAGAGAGAACCUGUUCUUCAUGGAGACAUCAGCACUGCAAUCCACCAACGUUGAAACUGCAUUUUUGACAGUUCUAACAGAGAUAUAUCGAAUCAUCAGCAAGAAAACCCUUGCUGCUAAUGAUGAGCUAGAUCCCAAUGGCAAUUCAGGUCUUCUUAAGGGAACCCGGAUUAUUGUUCCCAAUCAGGAGCUGCAAACAGAAAGGAAAGGUGGCUGCUGUGGAUGAUCCUAAUUCUAACAGGCCUGCUUUUUUCUUUUUUUCCAAACUUUGUUUUGAUACUUUAUUUUUUGCCAGACUUUUUGAUUUGUUAAUUUAGGUUCUUUUUUGUAAUUCUUAAGAAAAGCAUAUCAGUAUUUUUUAGGAAAGGUUAUUCAUAUUCUCGGGUGACAAGAAUGACGUAAUGUUGAUUAAUUAACUGGGUGUGCAUAUCAUGGAAAGUUAACAUUGAGGUGAAUGAUAAUAUCAUGGAAUGAGGCCCAUGUAGUCCUACACUACUACUACUAUUACGUUCAAAUUGGCUCUGUAUGAGAUGGAAUAGUUGUCUAUUUUUAUACAUUUUAAUUCUUUCUUAAUAUUUUUCAAAUAUAAUAAAAAAAUUAUAUUAAUAAAUUCAUGUCAAAUUUAUUGUCAUCUUUCUUGAAUUCAAGAUUAUUUUUUUAUCACGAGGAACUAAUUAACCAAUUAAUCUAAAGUAUCUAACUCCAUAGAUAUAAAUGAAAACUAAAUUCAUGUGAGCUUUGAAUUAAUCAUUAUACUUAACACCAAACCAAAACAUAACGUAUAAUUUUAACUUUUGAUUUCCAUAAGAUUUUAAUUUAUUUUAAUUUAUAGUGGUUUUUCAUUCUUUUUUUUGUUUUUUGUUUUACUAUUAGUAAUUUGUAAUUUAUGUUUUCGUUUUCCUAGUAUCAUUAAACUAUCGUUAGGGUGAGGGCAAAAGAGUAAUCUUAGCAAUCAAACACGACUGCGCUUAAGCGCCUAAACUCAAAAUUUGAAAAUUAGAAAAAGCAUGCAAAGCGAAGGAACACAUACUUGCACGUGCCAAACAUUUUCCUGAAACCACCUGGGAGUGGGAUGGGAACUCCUUUCCCCCUAUAAUACCGCCCAUUUUUCGUUUUGAAAAAUUUGCCAAACUCGCCUCUCCCUCGAACAACAGAGCGCUCUCUCUCUCUCUCUGUGUCCCCUUUUAUCCUCUGCUGAGAGACCCUUCAUCACCGUCAAACCCUAUCAAGAAAACCCCAUUUCUUCUAGAGGUAAAUAAAACUAACCCAACCCCUUUUCUCAGUCUUUCUUGCUUUCUUUCUCCUUUUCCAUCUUUCUUGGAAAUUUCAGAUACCCAUAUUCGUUUUCUUGUUUUUUUUUUCUUUUCUUUUUUCAGUCAGUUGAAACCAUAUGCAAUGGCAGAUUCAAGAGACAGAAUCACGAGAGCCGUUGAUAUAGCAGAAGUCUUCGCUCGAAGACGGUCUGGGCCUUUGGGAAUUCUCUCGGAUGAAGCACAGGAGUUGUUAGCCUCUCCUGUUCAACGACCGGUUACUCGUAGGCCAAUGGGUGUUGCUGUGACUACUUCUACGUCGCGUGGGGGAGGGCUCCGCAGGGGUAGCAGUUUUGGGACCCCAAGAUCCGGGAUUAGAAUAGGCCGUAAUCUUUACCGAUCGCCGGCUCCGGGAAGAGAGAAUGCUCCAAUGGGUGUCAUGGGGCGUGGAAGGGGUCGACUUACGGGCAGUGUGUUACCUUCUUGGUACCCAAGAACUCCUCUCCGUGAUAUUACUGCUGUUGUGAGGGUAAUGCUUACUCUUUCUCUCUCUCUUUUUUUUUUUUGGUGAUAUGUUGCUUAAGGGUUUUGAUUCUGUAUUUUGAUCUCUUUCUUUGUUUUUUAUGUUCACUGCUAAAGGGGGAAAACAUUGAUUUGUUUUUUUUGAACUGCACUAGUUACUUUUGCCAAGAGAUGCUUGCCAUAAUAAUUAUUCAACCCCUGAUUUAUGAAUUGUCAUGGUUCGGGCUUCAUUUCCUUUUGGUUGAUAUGUUUAGGUCGUUUAUUGAAUACUUUCAUAUGCAAUCUGAUUGGUUUUGGUAGUUAUUGUCUUUUUUUCCCUUUAUUUCCAAUAUGUUUAAUGAUUGCUGAAUUUUGUAUUACCAUAGAAGUUGCUUGCUUGAAUGAGCUCGAUUUUACUUACUCAGGUCUGGGUUUUUAUCCACUUGUUUACUGUUAGAUGUUCAUGUAAUUGUCUUCAUUUCGUCAAGUGUAUCUUUAGGCUCCCUUUGUACUUCUUAACAACCCGUAGUCUAUAGCUACAGUCAGUAAGGGAUGUCUAGUUCUCUCUGCUUUCUAGUUUCUAGUAGUACAUGGAUUCAUACUGCCAGUUGGUCUAUAUGCUAUGUAGAUUUCAGUCUGAUAUAUUUACUCCAGUUGCUGUAUUUUUUAUUUUCGUUUUUUUUUCUGAUUGUUGGUAUAUGGGUUUCAUCAGCUGUGUUAAUGAGAUGUCCAUUCAUUACACUGCCCUGUUACAAUGUCAUCCUUUCAAAAAACCAUAUUGGUUCCCUAUCCUUUCAGCCAAAAUGGAGAGCUUCAUGUCGUACAUUGGAUUAGGCGCUCAACUUGAGCUCCAACAGAAUGGCCAGAAUUUAUCUUUGUUUUCUGUCUGUCAAAGUUGGAAAGAAAUUUCUCAUUUCUUUCGGUUGUUUAUUUUGAGGACAAGCCUGAUUAGCUUAGGAUUUGUUGGACUGUAUAGGAUUUGAGCUGAAAUAGGGUAUGUUAAGAUAAUUAUAUAAAUUAUUUUGUUAAGAGUUAUAAUACAAUACUAUUACCUAGUUAGAUUACAAUAUCUAGUUAAAAAUUAUAUUAUAAUACUAUUGAUUAGAUAGAGAUAGAUUAUGAAUAGGAUUAGUUAUAUAUAUAUAUAUAUUUUUAUAAUUUUAUAAUAGAAGAGUUCUCGUCUUUGUAAUAUGGUUUUUUUUUUUUGUUGUUUGACUUGGGGGUUUUCUUAGGCUUGCUGAGAUAAUUAAAUUGAUGAGAAUUUAACCAGGCCAUUGAAAGGAGGAGAGCUCGUUUAGGAGAAGGCGAACGCCAAAUACUUGAGAGCCCAACGUCGCAAGAUGAAAGGGUUCUUAAUUCAAAUUUAUCAUCAGGUGUUCAACUCGAGCACAAUUUCUCCACUCCAGCUUCAACUGCCAGAAUGAAGCCUUGCCCUCAAUCAGUCCGUAAUGUGUCAAAGAUUUUGCUUAAUGUCACGAAUCAGAAUGGUGAGGAAUCAGAGAUUCUUACACCCCAAAAGAAACUCUUGAACUCAAUUGACACUGUAGAGAAAGCUGUGUUGGAGGAAUUACAGAAAAUGAAGAGGACUCCCAGUGCCAAGAAAGCAGAAAGACAAAUGAAAGUCCGCACACUGAUGUCAAUGCGUUGAUGUUUAGCGCAUUAUGCAACCACUAGGAUUGGGAAGACAGCAUCAGUUAGAACAACUGGAAGGCUAGAGAUUGCAAGCCACCUUGCAACGGGAAGCUGGCUAAUCAUCCUCUGAUGAUAUGUUUACAUUGUUGAACUCGGAUACCAGAUAGCAUAGAUACUUUCUAUCUUCUUUUACAGUUCGACAUAUUACUAAAUGACUCACUAUAGGAUCAGGUGUCAAUUUUCCUUCAAUCCUCGCUGAAGGCCCUGGUAGAAGAUUGGUAAGCAAUCUUGUUUCUUCUCUCCAUUUUUUGAAGGGACCAGUGUAGGAAUAGAAGGAUUUGUUUCAAAAUCAUGUAGAUAUACAACUUGUUUGGACUUGCCUCACAUUUUUUCUUGGCUCUAUAUUCAUGUUACCAUCACCAUGUACUAAUGAAGUGUCAUAAGAUUGGAUUUUAACAAGAAUGGAUCUAUAUUCAUGACUUUUCUUGCAUAUUGAAAAAUAGAAUAAUGAUAAAGCUGUUAUGUAUUUCAUUAAUUUCCUGAAAGUAGCAGGAACUGGUUGUUAAUUAAAGUUGAAUAUACCCUUGACCUGGCCUUUUGGAUUAUUCUAACAUGAUUCAUAAUAUGGUCAAGUUCAACCUGGAAAUCUAUUGGCCACAUGUCCUGUUUCUUUGAUAAAUAAUGUAGUUUGAGUAUGGUUUUGGGUGACGCAAAGGGUAGUAGGAGGGGAUGUGGGUGUGGAUGAUGGCCAUGGCAGGGUGUCAUGAAUCUUAUAUCAAAAUGGGAUGGGAUGGAGUUGGGUUUUAGAUUUAUAAAUAGAAGUCUAUUUUGAUUGAAUAUAUCUUUUGGUUGAAAAUGUGAAUUUGUGACAAGUGUUAUCAAAGUUAAAAUAUAAUCUUUCUUUUUUUGAUAGUAUAGAAUAUCAUUAAUUUCACUUUAAUAAGAGAUUAGGUGAGUCAAUUUUUAUUUAGCAAACAUGUUUUUUGAAUUAAAACGUGGACAAGUGAGACAUGGUACUUUCUUCUUUUUUUUUUUUUUAAUUUUUAACAAUAUUUUUAUUUUUUUCUUUUAUGUAUUUUCUUACUUCGGGCUUACCAAUCCAAGGUCUAAUAAUUGUGGGCUUUAAAUCUAGAGUAACAGAUUGGCCUUCUAACUAACAGGGUUUAAACCCAAUUAACAGUUAAACCUUAGACUCAAGUUAAAAUAAGUCCAAAUAAAACAAGUUUUAAAAACUUAAUACUCUGAACUAGACUAAAUAUCGGUAAUCAUUCAACUUGAAACUAAAAUUUACACUGAAUGACUCUAUACAAAAUGGAAUGUCUACCCACUUUGCUGGUUUCUUUUUUCUCAAUUAGUAAUUUUACUUACUAAAAUUAUUAAAAUACCUUGAAUUUCAAAGUUAACAUAUAUUUCUUUACAUGUAAGGGUAUCUUUAUAAAUUUAUUGGGGUAUAUUUAUUUACAUAAAAAAAAAUUGAGUAAUGCUCUCUUUGUUUUCAACGAAGACUUUUUCAAUUGUUUUGAAUUUUUUGCUUGUUAACAAAUAGAAUGGAAAUCUCGUAAAAAUAUUGAUUUUGUCAUUUUGUUGUAAUGGUCCCUGAUGAUGGAGUAUAAAAGCCAAAGAGACUAGAGUGGAACAGGUCAGAUAAUUGAAGGUUAGUACAUCAUUUUUAGGCGAUGGGGACUAUUUCUGCGUAAUGCACGAGGGCCACUGCAAUUUUCUUUUGUUGUUAAUUAGAGAGGACCACUCCAAAUCUCCAUUUGCUUCUCCCAAAUUGCCAUACCAAAGACAAAUAUUAAGACUUUCCUAGUUAUCAAUGAAACCCAUAUUUCCAUUUUUCUUUUGGCAGCAGAUAACGACCAAAUUUGUAAUUCGUCCAUGGUCCCUGCCCUCAGUCUCCCUCCAUGUUUGUCAUAUGCAGGGAGCAAACUUUGUGGAACAAGAUUCUCUCCUAACAAUUUCAAGGACUUUUUUGAGCAUUGAAAAACUUGAUUAAAUCAUAAACGAUACCGCAUGAACCAAGAUAAUAAAAUGAGACGAUUUUAAAAAUAAAGUGUUUUCGAAAAUAACCAUAUUUUUAAUUUUAACUGUUUUUAUUCAAGAGAAAUUUUUUUUAAUAAAAUUAUCUUCAAUGAAACUUUCUCAUAUUCAAGUGCACAUGUUGAAAAAAAUAUUAUUAUACAUAAUGUUGGAAAAAGUUGUUACACACUAUAUUUAAAGUGUUUAACUCUAAGAGUUUAUUUUCUAAUGAAAUACAAAGACAUAGACCAAAUUACAUGUCAUGUUUAAAAAAUAAUAUUAUUACACUUCAUGUUAAAAAAAAAUGUUGUUAUACCAUGCUAAAAAAAUGAAAAAAAAGUUGUUAUACGUCAUAUUUAAUGUAUUUAACUUUAAGAGUUUAUAUUUUAGUGAAAUACAAAGAUAAAGAUCAAGUGGUUUAAAUUGGUUCUGUGAAUAUAAACUAAUAAACUCAAAAACAUACAUUAAUGUCAUAUUUGCUCUUUGGUUUGUAGAUUGAAGAAGAUAUGAUGAGAAAUAGAUAAAGAGAGAUGACAAUGGUGAUAAAAUUAGAAAAAGCUGAAUGGCGAGAGAGAGAAAUCGAGAGCACAGCAAACAAAAGUGGGGGAAGGAAGUUGAUAAAAUUAGAGAGAACUAGAUGACGAGAGAGAAAUCGAAAGCACAAAUAGAUGUCGGAAAAAGAAAUCCGGGGGGGGGAUUUUUUAAUUUGUUUGAAAUAACUUAAAGGGUAUUUUUAUCAAAUUAUGAUAAAAUUAGAUAAAAAUAGUUAAUUUUGUAUUAGAGGCUAUUUUUUAAAUGACCUUAUGAGGUUAACAAUUUCUCAUAAUUUUCUUUAAUAAAAUAGUUGUAUACGCUUACAUGAUACAUCAUUUGUUAAUAUAGAUGUCGAUUCAGGAUUUGAUCAUGUAAAUAAAUCAAUCACACCAUAGCUUUGUUAAUUGAAAUAUACUCAAAGUAAUACUUAUAAUUAAUAUUAGCAUGGACUAUUUAAUAUAUAUAUAUAUAUCGAUAUAUAUAUAUAUCUGUGUAUAUAUUAUAUAUAUAAAUCCUAAACGAUACCGGAUGAACCUAAAUAAUAAAAUAGUUGUAUAUGCCUAUAUGAUACAUCACUUAAAGUUUGCAAUUAGGAUUGGAUCAUGUUAAUAAAUCAAAGCACAAUAUAGCUUUCUUAAUAAAAAUAUACUCAAAAUUAAAUAAUUCUUAUCAUUAUUUAGUGUAUACAUGCAUUAGUACGUGUUAUAUAUUAAUUAUUUAUUUAUUUGAUGAGAGCGAUGGAAAUGGAAUGUAUUCAUUGAUUAUUAAACGCAAAAAUUAGGGAUGAAACUCUAUAAAAGCAUGUUAAAAGUCCAGCAUUUACAACACUAAGAAAAAGAGAAACAGCCCUUUCCAAUUUGCCAUGGCCAUCAUAUCUAGUGACAUUCUCUAUUACCCUCUCUUUUUGAUUUGGUUCAUCACUGCUCUCCUAGUCCACUCUUUCAUCAAAAGAUUCCUGAAGCCUUCUCGCACCCGAGUUCCAGACCCACCGAGCCCCCCUGCACUCCCAUUCGUCGGUCACCUCCAUCUAGUCAGCUCCGUCCUACCCAAAUCUUUCCAAGCCCUAGCUGGACGCUAUGGCCCUCUCAUGCAGAUCCGUCUGGGUGCAUCAUCUUGCGUUGUUGUAUCCAACGCCACGGUUGCAAAAGAAAUCUUCAAAACUCAGGAGCUCAAUUUUUCUUCCAGGCCCGAAUUCGGUUCCUCAGAGUACUUCAUUUACAGAGGUUCAAGGUUUGUCCUGGCCCAAUACGGUGACUACUGGCGUUUCAUGAAGAAACUUUGCAUGACAAGGCUCCUGGCCGUCCCUCAACUAGACUUGUUCACCGACAUCCGAGACCAAGAGAAGGUCAAGCUCGUGGAAUCCGUGAUGAAAUGUUGCAAAGAAGGGAAGCCCUGUGAUUUGAGCAGCGAGUUAACCACCCUGACGAAUAAUACUAUCUGUAGAAUGGCAAUGAGCACACGCUGUUCGGGGAACGAUAACGAUGCUGCUGAGAUUAAAGAGUUGAUUCGGACAUGUUUGCAGCUUUCAGGGAAGAUAAGCGUAGGAGAUGUAUUGGGUCCUCUGAAGAUAUUGGAUUUCUCUGGAAACGGCCAGAAGCUUAAGGCAGCGUUGCUGAAGUAUGACCGGCUGGCGGACAGGAUCAUCAAGGAACAUCAAGAGGAGGCGAUGAAGGGUUUGGAUAAGAAUCAAAGGAAGGAUCUGUUGGAUAUUUUGUUGGAGGUUUGCAAAGACCCAACUGCUGAAGUGAAGAUUUCCAUGAAGGACAUCAAGUCUUUCUUGCUGGUAAGUUCUCUACCUUCUUCUAGAGAUGUAAACAUUGAGCAAGCAAGAUAAGUUGUUAGAUUAGGACUAUGAAAAAAAAAUCCAUUUUUCUUUGUUGUAUUUAAUGUGGUUUAAAUUAACAUAAUAACUACUAUUUUGUUUGGUCAAUUAAUUUAAUUCGCCUUUUAGUCAUUAAUGAAAAUACUCAAAUUAAUCCCAAACCCAAAUCAAAUUACAUGAUUAACGUUAUUAUUAGUUAAAUCUUGAAUAAAAUUUAAAAUGUUUUUAACUAAAAAUGAAAUAGCUAGAUAGGCUCAAAAGAAUCAGUAAAAAGCAUUAAACAUCUUUUCAAAAAUCUUGUAAGCAAACUGAAUAGAAUUUCGAAUUCAAUUGGGUUUUGAACUAUUUACUUUCAUUAUUCAUUUUUGUUUAGUAACUAGUUUGGUUCAAGUCUAUUUUUCGAGUUUUGAAUUGAAUUGAUUAGAUAUUAAUAAGUCUGAUUAAUUUGAUUAGAUUGAAUUUAUUAGUUAUAUUAAUAAUAGAUCAUUGGACUUUAGGACAUAAAAAUAAGAAGAAGUGUAUUACAACCCAUGAUCUUAGGUAUAAGGUGAAUUACACAACUCUAUAGUUAAGAAAUUGUACAAGUUAAUUAAAGGUGUAAUUAUAAAUAUAACAUUACUUGAAUUCGACUCAUUUAGAAAGUAAAAACUCACCAAUCAUCAAACCCUUAACGUGAACCCCAUCAAAUUUUAUUUUGAAACAAAUAUAUUUGACUGAUCAUAGACUAAUUAAUUUCCAUCCACUUUAGAUCAAAUGGUAGAUAUAUAAAUUAAAUAGACUAUACUUAAAUUUAUGAAUUAAUUAACUUAAUUAUAUCCCUUGCGUUUUCAAGGCAAAAUCCUUGACUAACUUGAUGUAUACAUGAGCACGUAAAUACUUUUAUAGAAUUCACACAAUUUUAUGUUGUUAAUUAAGUCCUAUACAUUCCAUGCUAUAAACAAAUUGAUUAUGUAUAACUGAUCUUUGAAUGCGGAUGAUAAGGAUAUAUUCAUGGCCGGAACUGAUACAUCCUCCGCAGCCAUGCAAUGGGCCAUGGGGAAGCUCAUCAACCACCCAAAAGCCUUUCAGAAGCUUAGAGAUGAAAUCAAUUCGGUCGUGGGGCCCAACAGGCUAGUCAAAGAAUCCGACGUCCCGAAUCUUCCUUACCUCCGGGCAGUCGUAAGGGAAACUCUACGGCUUCAUCCUUCAGCUCCCUUGAUCAUCAGGGAAUGUGCUGAAGAUUGCAAGGUCAAUGGCUUCAUAGUGAAGGCCAAGACCCGAGUUUUAGUCAAUGUCUUUGCUGUCAUGAGGGACCCUGAUUCAUGGACAAAUCCUAAUGAAUUCGAACCUGAAAGAUUCCUGGAAAGCUCUGAUGAAAGAAUUGGAGAGCAUCAAAUGGAAUUCAAAGGUCAAAACUUUCGGUUCCUUCCUUUCGGGAGCGGUCGGAGAGGAUGUCCCGGAGCCUCCCUUGCCAUGUUGGUGAUGCAUGCAGCUGUGGGAUCCUUGGUUCAGUGCUUUGAUUGGAAGGUGAAGGAUGGGGAGAAGGUUGAUUUGAGCCUAGGAUCAGGGUUCGCUUCAGAAAUGGCUCGUCCACUCGUGUGUUACCCUAUUGCACGUUUUAACCCCUUUUGAGAAAACAUCAUGAAAAAGUUCAAACAAAUAUUAAUAGGAGCUUUGUGUUUGGAAAUUAGUAUUUCUUUUCCAACUGCCUACUUAAUUUUUUAGUUUAAGUUUCUGAGUUGCAAAAAUUUCCGUUGUGUAUGUAUAAAGGUUGUGUUGUGUACGUUAAAAUAUAAGUUAUUGUGUUUAUCAAAAAAAAAAUACUGUGUUUUUUAUUAUAUAUAUGAAGAAAGAAAAAGUGAGAAAUGAAAGUUUUGAGGUAAGAAAGAAAAUUACUUAUUAUUCUAUUUACGUACUCAAGAUCAUAUGUACUUUAAAAAAAAAAAAUCAUCUCGAUUUGGCAAACAAGUCGUAGCUUAAUUGAUGCAAAAGCCAUUGCAGGCUGUGGGGUUCGAACCCACGCGUACUUAUGUACAGAAGAUCUUAAGUCUUCCCCCUUAACCUCUCGGGCAAACCUGCCGUUGAUCAUUGAAUCGCUUUAUUAUAAAUUUACCAUAGGAAGAAUCCAAUUAAUUAUACCAGUCACUAUUUUAGUUUUACAAUCUCUCGUAUCUUUUUAUACUAUUUAUAUUUUUGGUUGAUUUAACCAUUGGAUUUCAUACUCUAUUUACGUAGAUCAUGCAUACCAAAUUUUAAAUUAAUUAAAAAUAUCUACCUAAUUGUUUGAUAUAAUAAAAUUUUGAUCUUAAUUUGAAUAUAUAUAAAAAAAGACAAUAUUCAUAAUUGAUAUGAUAAAAAUAUCGGAUUGAUAAGAAAAUUUACAUAUAUAUAUAUAUAUAACGAGCCCAAGUAGAUUAUUAAUCUAACAGUUGGUUUGCUAAAAUAUUAAUAUGGUACUAAGUUAUAAAAAGAAUAAAAUACUAAUUAAUUGUAUAUUAAUGUAAUUUAAUCCCUCCUCUCUCUCUCUCUCUCUCUCUCUCUCUCUCUAUAUAUAUAUAUAUAUAUAUAUAUAUAUAUAUAUAUGUAUAUACUGCUAAAAGGUGUAAAAAUAUGAACUAGUAAUUAAGUUUGGAGAUGAGAGCUUCAAUUCAUUGACUUUUGAAAAGGGAAAAACAAUUCAUACAUAUAAUAAAUAUAUAUAUAUAUAUAUAUAUAUAUAUAUAUAUAUAUAUAUAUAUAUUAACAUUGUACGACCAAUUAUUCAUGGUUUCACCCGCGAGUUCAGAUCCUAGGAAAUCAAAAGUUAGUGCUCGGUUCCUUGAAUCAAGAAAUUAAAUAUUGAACCAAAAAUCAAGGCGUUAAGAAAUUUGAACUCUAACAUUGUUGUAAUUUAUUAUUAUAAUGUAUGGAAGCUAUGAACUAUGCCCAACCAAUCAUCGAAUUCCCCUUCAAAUAAUCUUCGUCGACUUGCAACCCCAUGUCCUAGGGAAUCGAGAUUCAAGUGAGUCAAUUGCAAGCUGUAAUUAACAAACUAUCACAGUCCCAAAUCAUGUACUUGAUAUGAUUUUAGUAUAUUGGGGGCAUGUGACUGCAUGAUAGUGUUUCAUACAUGCAUAAAGUUUGAUAAAACAAUAGCUUUUUUUGGGUGAAGAUAUAAUUAAUUCCUUAUGUUCUGAAAAAUAAAAUUCAAAAUUUUUUUAUUUGAGAGAAGACGAGAUUUAAAUUCUAUUAAAAAAGAAGAUAAAUCGCAUACCAAUUAUUGAAUCAAAUGUUAAAAAACAAAAUCAUUACUCACUAAUUGAUGAUAAAUAAUUUUGUAAUUUAUUUUGUCUUUACAAGGACAUUUAAAUGGUUAUUGGUAUUUAAUUGAAAUUUUAAUUUGAAGAUUAAAGAUUUAAAGUAUUGAAAUGUGAAAGGUGAGAUUUAUGAGAUUAGAGAUCGGUUACUUCAUUUUAUGACUCAAUUUAUUUAGGUAUGUACAAAAAAAAAAUUCAUUCAAAAAUAUAGUAUUAAUAAAUUAUUGAAAUAUUAUACUAUAUGGCGAUGAUAAGAAAUAUCAUUUAUGUGCAAGCCUUUUAUUACCUUUAAUACGAUGAAAGUUUAUAUUUGUCUUUCAUUAGCAAUAGCACCUGCUGCCAUGGCCACAAGCACUAGGUUGUUGCACUAUAGCAACCCUUUCUUCGUUUCCAUUAUUUCAAUUAUCAUCGUUUAUUUGCUCAUCAAACUAUGCACAAAACCAAAAUCCUCCGUCCACUACCCUCCCAGCCCUCUAGCACUGCCCAUUAUCGGCCAUCUCCACCUCCUAAGUUCCUCAUUGCCCAAGUCUUUCCAAACCCUAGCUCGCCGUUAUGGCCCCCUCAUGCGCAUACACAUAGGCCAAUCUAUCUUUGUUGUUGUUUCAGAUGCCGCUGUGGCGAAAGAGGUCCUGAGAAUCCAUGAGGGUGAGUUCGCUUCCAGGUUUGAAUUUGGUCCAGCUGAGUACAACAUCUACAAAGAUGCUGGUUUCAUCACCAGUCCUUAUGGCACGUAUUGGCGGUUCAUGAAAAAGCUUUGCAUGACAAAGCUCUUUUCCGGGCCACAGCUGGACAGGUUCAACCACAUCCGAAAGGAGGAGAUUAUGAAACUGCUGCAAUCAUUAAUGAAGAGAUCUAGAGAGGGGAAAUGGUGUGAUUUGAGUGCGGAGUUAGCCAGCUUGACCAACAACUUGAUAUUCAGGAUGGCAAUGGGCAAGAGAUUUUCAAAGGAUGGGAAUGAGGCUAACGAGAUGUGGAAGUUGGUGGUGGAGAUAAUGGGGCUUGCAGCAAAGCUAGGAGUCAAUGAAGUGCAUGGUUUGUUGAAGAAAAUUGACCUUUUCGGAAAUGGGAAAAAGCUUAGAGAGGCACUUGAAAGGUAUGAUAGGCUAGUGGAAGAGAUCAUCAAGGAUUAUGAAGAAAAUGGGUUGGAUAUUGGUGGGGGAAAUGAAAAUCUGAUGCAUAUUUUGUUGGAGACUUAUAGAGAAAAGAAUGCUGAACUGAAGAUAACAAGAGAUCAGAUCAAGUACUUCAUUCUUGUGAGUUCUUAAUUAGUUAUAUGCAAUUGAUUUGUAUUGAGCUACAUAUGGUUAACAAAAGCUGACUUUUUUGGGUUGUAUAGUUGCAUUAUUCUAUCAUUAGAGAAAGGAAAUUACAAGUGAUAUAUACACACACGCAACUUUUAUUUAGAUUUCAAAGCCGUUUUCUAGCUAAUUUUCAUUCUUUUUCUUUUCUUAAAAUUAAUUAAGCUAAUUUCUUUGUGUCAAAAUUUUGGUCAAACAAUCUGCUAUCAUAAUCAUUUGUGAGUAAUUAAAUUUUAAAAAUUUAAGUUUUUGAUCCAUUGCUUGAAAACUCAAACUUUUAAAAUAAGUGAGUGGUCUUUUGACUCAGGUAUUAGUUUUGAGAUUAAUCUUGAUAUUUAGUUACUAAUUCUUCUUUUCUGUUGCUUUUUUCUGUUUUUGCAUGCUAUUCCUGUUUUGCUCUAUGAAUUUUCAGUUAAAACUGAUGCUUUUUAAUGUGCAAAAAAUAAAAUCAAACAAAAAAAAUGAAAAAUAAAGUCUAGCUAGCUGGGAUAGUUUGUAUCAUUUCCAUGUAUGAGCCAUAAAGGGGAGAAAGAUAACCAUUUGCAUGGUGUAUCAUUAUGAAGUAUAAAAGAUGAGUAAGACAACAAAUUUGGGAGAGGGAAAGUUAUUUUUGGAUUUGGGAAUGGUACGUUUGAUAGCUACUUGAAUCCAAUUCCACUCUGUUGCUUCGAGCUAGGGAGUUGUUUAACUAUUUUAACCAAGAAUAGAGCAGCAAUUAAUUGUUACUUGAACACCGAUUUUUGGAAAAGAAAAUUUUUUAUUACUAAUUACAGCAAAUAUGUGACAGGAGUUGUUUAUUGCUAGCAUCGACACUUCAUCCGCAGCCAUACAGUGGGCCAUGGCAGAGCUCAUCAACCAUCCGAAAGUAUUCAAGAAGGUAAGGGAAGAGAUUGAUUCAGUUGUGAAGUCCAACAGGCUAGUCAACGAGUCAGACGUGCCAAACCUCCCUUACUUGCAAGCAAUCGCCAAGGAAACCUUGAGGCUGCAUUCUCCGGUGCCUAUAUUUCAUAGGGAAUGCACCAAAGACUGCAAGAUCAAUGGCUUCGACCUCCAGGUCAAAGAUAGAGUCCUGAUCAAUGCUUACGCUAUUAUGCGUCACCCGGAAGCGUGGAGUGACCCGGAUAAGUUUCUUCCAGAGAGGUUUUUGUACAACUCAUCAGGAGAAAACAAUGGUGAAUAUUUGAUGGAAAUCAAGGAUCAGGGUUUUUGGUUCCUUCCGUUUGGGGGUGGUAGAAGAGGAUGCGCUGGUUCCUUGCAUGCUUAUCUAGUUACGCAUGGGACAGUUGGUGCCUUGGUUCAAUGCUUUGAUUGGAAAACCAAAGAUGGGGAAAAGGUUGAUAUAAGUGUUGGGUCAGGCUUUUCCGGCGCAAUGGCACUUCCUAUGGAAUGUUAUCCUGUUUUACGUUUUGAUCCAUUUCAGAAAUGAAAAUGGUAAAAGUAAAGUGGAGAUUUAAAGUAGUAUGUUUCUGAAUGUUCCAAGUAUUGUUGUUGGCAAUGUGAAGUAAUUAAAUAAAUGCUUGCAAGCUCCGAGAGCUUGCAUGGAUUUGGGUUUGGAAAUGUCUGGGUUAUCAAAUAAGGUAUUCCUGGUUUCCUAGGAAUACUCUCAAAAAGUGUAGUAAACUAGGACAUAGGAAAAAUUGUAAGCUUAUAUUUGAUUGGAACACACUCUAUCAUUAAAUCUGUUUCUUUUUUUUUUUUUCUCUUGAAACAGCAUUAAAUCUAUUUUCUGAUGCAAUGAACAGAGUCAUUUGCAUAUUCUGUUUUUUAAGCAUACUCUUCUUGUUCUGCUUGCCAAACCCAGGGUUAGGUUUUAUUUAUUUGACAAUAUUUAAAUAUUAAGCUAACACAUCCAAGAAGAAGGCACCGAGGAGGGGCAGAGGAUUUCUAUUUCCAAAAUUUCUUUAUUUGAAUGAUUUAUCUGGAUUAAACUUUAGGCUCUUAAGUUAAUAAUAAGAUUAUAAAGUAAGAAUAUACAUGGAAUAGAUUAGCACUGGAAGGAGAGCAGGUAUCCAUUACACUUGAUAAUUAAUAAAAUUGUGGUUAAACGGUGGGUCGGUGUCUGUCAUUUCUUGGAUUAACACUGUCUGCCUUGAUAGCCAAGUCCAAUUAUAUAUGUCUGAUACGCCAAGCUCCCCAUAUGCAAAAUUACUUCUCUCCAUCUGCCAUACCACAAUUUCAUGGCGCCUACUGUCAUGGACUACUUCUACCAUUUCUUAAUCCUGAUCAUAUCUACUCUUCUGCUAUGUUUCUUGGUUAAGUCUUUCAGGAACUUCAAGUCCAAAGCCAAGUAUCCACCCAGCCCUCCAGCUCUACCCAUUAUCGGUCACAUUCACCUGUUAAAAUCCGGAUUACCUACGUCCUUUGAAGCUCUUGCCAACCGAUAUGGUCCCUUAAUGCAGAUACGCGUUGGAGCUACUAAUUUUGUUGUUGCCUCGGAUGCAAAAUCAGCUCAAGAAAUAUUGAGAACGUUUGACACUGAUUUUGCCUCCAAGUUUCAACCUGGUCCGACAACUUACCACAUAUAUAAAGACAGUUCAUUUACUAAUGCUCCUUAUGGUGCGUAUUGGAGGUUCGUGAAGAAAUUAUGCAUGACUAAGCUGUUUACAGGUUCACAGCUUGAUCGGUUUAUCCAUAUUCGGGAGCAAGAGACAAGCACGCUCUUAAAAUCGCUGCUGAAGAGGUCUAAAGAAGGUGAGCCAUGUGACUUGGCUGAAGAGCUAACAGCUUUGACAAAUAACAUGAUUUACAGAAUGGCAAUGGGAAGGAGAUGCUCGAAGAAUCCUAAUCAAGCCGCGGAGAUCAGAAAAUUCAUAACAGAUAGCAUGAAAUAUGCGGCAAAGUUUCAUUUUGGUGAAGUGUUUGGUCCUUUGAAGAAAUUGGACCUCUUUGGAAAUGGGAAGAGGCUUAAAAUGAGUCUAAAGGGAUAUGAUCAGCUGAUGGAGCAGAUUAUGAAGGAUUAUCAUGAUAACGAGUUGAAGAAUUGUGAAAAUGAUCAAGAGAAAGAUGUGAUGGAUAUUUUAUUGGAGACCUACAAAGACACAAGUGCUGAGGUGAAGUUGACUAGGGAUCAGAUCAAGAACUUUUUCAUGGUAAUUAUUUCUUGCAUAAUUUCUUAUUUGAGAAGAAUAGUUUCAGAAUAUUGAUUAAUGUUCAAGUUUAGUUUCAGUUGCAGUUGAUAAGCUUAGUCAUAGGCUAAAUCUUAUUAUUGAGUUCAAGCUGUCUUUCAAUUAUUUAGUUAGCAGAAAGCUCAACUUCAAUCCACACUUAUCAAUUUAAGUCAUGGUCGCUAAACUAGGACUUUUUGUCCUUUUGUUUUCCCUAAGAUCAUCUUAUUAAUUUAGCAGCAACCAGGAGCUCUAAUUCAUAGUGAUUUCAAUCCAUUUUUUUUUUCUCUUUUUGUUAUGAUAAUAUCAAUAUUCCACUUCUGCUUUAAGCCUUUGACAUAUCAAAUGUGAUGAUGAGAUUUCAUCUAAUCUGAUCAAUUUCUGCCAUAGGAAACACCAAGGUAAAAAAAUAUUAAUUUCAUUUUGAUGGUUAAUUAAGUUGGGGAGGAGUGACCGUAACUCAAGACCUCCACUGAUUUAUUUCUUUAGAAUAUCAGUGCGUUGUUGUGUUACUGCUAUUUAUCCUAUCAUAUGAAAGCAACAAAAAAAUGCUGAUUGAACAUUCAUGUCUGAUAUAGGAACUAUUUAUGGCUGGUGUGGAUACAACAGCAGCAGCAAUACGAUGGGCAAUGGCAGAGCUUAUCGAUCAUCCCCACAUAUUCAAAAAGCUUAGAGAGGAGAUUGACUCGGUUGUGGGGAAAAAUAGACUAAUCAAAGAAUCUGAUGCCCCAAAACUCCCUUACUUACAAGCAGUAGUCAAGGAAAUCCUAAGGCUACAUCCUCCAGGGCCAUUACUCCGCCGACUUUCCAACAAAGAUAGCAAGAUCACUGGCUUUGAUCUCCGGGAAGGGACUAGGGUUUUCAUCAACGUCUACCAGAUAAUGAGGGAUCCAAAUAUAUACAAGGAACCGGAAAAAUUCCUGCCUGAGAGGUUCUUAGGCAACUCUACUGAAAUCAAGGGUCAGGAUUUUCAUUACCUUCCAUUUGGUAGUGGAAGGAGAGCUUGCCCUGGUGCAUCACACGCUAUGUUCGUGAUGCAUGCAACCAUUGGAGCCCUGAUACAAUGCUUUGAUUGGAAAGAAAAGGAUUUGGAGAAAACCGACACUGAACUUGGGGCCGGUUAUUCUGGGGCAUUUGCACUCCCCCUUGUGUGCUAUCCCAUUACCCGCUUUGAUCCUUUUGAGGCAUAAGUCCAAGAUUUGAUAACUUGUUUUGUGUAAAGUUGUUGAUGCUAGUGCUAAGGGCAAGGAGCUGAUUGGAGCAAAUUAUAUACCUUACCCUAUGAGUUAUGUGUCUCACUUGUAAAUUUUAAUUAAGGGCACAUCAGAAACUGUAAGUUGAGUGAAUUUUUCUUUCACGUCUAUCACUAGAGUUUUAAUUAAGAAGGUCACCAUAUUAAGUUUGAAGAGAUAUUAGUGUAAUUCCGAAAGUUAAUCUUAUACUACAAGGUGCAUUAGAUAAUAGAGUAUAACAAAAUUAAAUUAAAUUCGAAAAAUUUGUUCAGCUUGUUCUAACCUGAACUUGAUUUGAUAUUAAAAAAAAAAAAACAAUCAUACGAAUCCAAAAUAAUCUAAAUAUAAAAACAACUUAAAGUUCAUUGAUCCAAACUCGAAAUAACUCAAAUUUGAUUAAUUUGAAAAAUUAACUUGAAAUGAUCCGAAUUUAAAAUAUCUAAUCAAAUUUAAUUCAAUUACAUUUUAAAAGAAGUCAACAGCUUGAAUUUAAAAUGCUUUUUUUUUUAAAUUAUGCAAUUUUAUUGCUUGAUGCCCAAAGAAAAAAUUCCUUGGACUAAUUAAUACAAAAUACAAAAAGGAAAUAAAAUAACAAAAUAACCCCUAAGAAUUAAGAACCGGAUGUAGGGAUCGGAACCAUCUCCCAAGCCUUAGACACAUCAAACCCAAUCAGAGUACAAAGAAUCCCAAAAUAGUUGAUGUCCUAAAGCAUAAAAAAGGUCAACAACUUGAAUUUAAAAUGAUUUAAAUCUAUAUAAAUCAACUUUCAAAUCCAAAUAAUUCAAAUUUAAGAUGAAUCAAAUUUGAGAUACCCGACUUGAAUCCUAUUUGUCCAAUUGUCACCUCUACUAGAUGGAGUAUAUCAAUAUUACCAAACACAACUAAUACAAACCGCAAACUAGAAAGAGAAGAGUUAAUGCUUCUGUUUUUUUUUUUAAUUUGUAAGAUUUAAGGGUAUGAUUUAUAUUGUUAUAUUACAUAAAUAUAUGAAAGCUAUUAUCUAUUAUAUAUUAUAUAAUUGUAUCAAACUUGAAGACAUAUUACGCACUCAAACAUUUAACUCUUUGGUUGGUGCAUGAUUCCUCUACUUAAAGAGUAUGAUUCAAAUUUUUCUUCCCCAAAUAAAAAAAAAAAACUUAAAGACAUCAUACGGGGAGAUGAGAACAUGAUGAAAAACUUUUAAUUUCAUUUGUUGAUAUUUUUGUUUUUUUGUAAAAUAAUAGAAAAAAUGUAAAAAGUAAAUAAAUUAAUUAAAAACAAAAGACAAAUGUAAAAAUAAAUAAACAAAUUAAAAAAAAAGACAAAUGAAGAAAAACAAAUAAUAAAACCAUCAACCAACAGAGUUUUUAAUAAGUUUCGAUUUUCGGAUUAGUUUAGGGUUUAAUGGGUUGUGGGUUUAGGCUUGGACAAGAAAAAUGGUUUUGGCUUUUGGAUGUUUGGGUGGAUAAAAUUUUCUUUGAUUAGUUCUUAUCGUUUCCUUUGCUCUCAUUUACAUUAAUGAGGGAUAUUAUAGGUCAAAUUUACAUCAGUGUACUAUAGAUUCAUAUAGUUUUUUAUUUAAAAUAAUUACAUAUUUUAUCUAUAAUCUUUAAUAUUGAUUGCUUUAUGUUUUAUUUUAUUUUAUUUGUUUGUCCAUAAAGAGUAAAUAUUAAAAGUACCAAUCAAAAGAAGAGUUAAUUACAAGCAAGAUAUGGUUCAACAGCCCAACAAGCUAGAAGGACCGAAAUCCAAAAUUCAUUUUUCCAAAUCUCAGAAAAUUAUGUAAAGAUCGAAUAAUUAGACGGCAAAUGUCUUAUAUGAUCAUCAUUAAAAAAACGAAGACAUUAAAUAAAUCGAAUAAUGCAACUCUGAUUACAUACGUCUGUAAAGAUUUUCUGGACCACUUUAGACUCCAUGGACCGCUAAUAAAGCUUAUGGUAGCAUAGCAUAUUUUACUCAAUCGUCUCAUUCAUAGAAGAAAAAUUCGAGAAGCUAUGAAAAUAUAUACGAAUUAAUUAAUUAAUUAAUGACCUUAGGAAUUAUUUAAAACUAUUGGCAAUUAUUUUGGAAGUCCAAAAGCUUUUGGCCAAAUUAGUUCCUUUCGUCCUACAUUACAUCAAACUCGAAUGCAUUUUCACUAAGCCAUGCCAACCAGCACAUUAGCCUUACAAUUAGAUUGAUACAUUUCCAUUAUGGCCAAAUCAUACCAAGGGGACCAUGCAUGCAUGACACAUACAAUAAUUAAAUUUUAAAAGAGUCUUUGUAUCAAAAUUGUCAUUUUAUCCAAUUAAUGGUUCACUAUAUCUCUUUUUUUAGAAGAAUAUUUUCCAUUCCGUACCAAAAGAAAUUAAAUACCAUAUCAAUUUGGGACCCAUGUUUCGUCCAAAAAUUUUUUUAAAAAAAUUGGGACCAGUGUCAUUUUCUCUACAGUCUUAAUUAAUUGAUGACUAUGCAACGCAUUGAUUGCGACAACUUAAUUAUGUAAUGCUCGUAUGAGAAAUAUAAAGUUUUCAUGGCACAUCAAAUUAAACUCCAAAUAAAUGAAAAUUUUGCUUGUAGUCAAUUAAUUAAUCUUCUAAUUAUUAAAUAAUGUAGGUACAUCAUGUUUAUAUUUUUCCAAUGGAAGAAGUAAACAAGAUGACGUGUGUGUUAGAAAGAGAAAUUGACAGGAGUUACAUCAAAUUGAAGAAUAUUGUUUUUAUGAAAGGAUUAGCUAUAAUUUCUCUAUUUUAAAAUGAAUAAUAAAGACAAUUUCCUCUCACCAGAAAAGUUUUGAUGUAGUUCUCAAUGGUCAUUUUCUAUCAAGAUUGACAUAUAUAAUAAAUAACAUAUGACGUCGGGACAUUGUAAAAAUACCUUAGUAUUAUGAAAAACAUUAAUCGUGAUGAGGUUAAAAACUCUACUAAGAUAAAUCACUAAUUUUAAUAAGAUUGAAAACCCUACUAAGGUGAAAAAUAAAAAAUUCUGUUAUACAUAUAAUUCUUAAUAAUAAUAAUCUAGUAAUAUAUUUUUGUAUCAACAUCCUUGAAAAAGUUUAAAGUAAAUUACUUUUAGAUUACUUAAUUUUUUUAAAAUUUUUAUUUUGAUCAUUUGAUUUUAAAAAUGAAUAUUUAUAAAUGUUAUUAUUUUGAUUGCUCAACUAUUAAAAGAUAAUAAACCAACAUAAUCAUGUUGUCUUAUCAAGUGACCAUAUUCAAAUAAUAAUAAAAUUAUUUAAAAAAAUUUUUAAAUUUUUUAAAUUUUUUUCUACGUGGACAUAUCCACAUGUCAGCAAUAGUUGAUGUGAAUGGUGUCCAAGUGAUAAGAAUAGUUGACAUGAAUGGCGAUGUAAAAUGCAACCUAAAAAUUAGGGUAAAAUAUUUAGAUUCUCUUAAGUUUUAAUCAAAAUUUAUAUUGAUUGAUUAGUUUUCGAAAUAAAUAAUAAAUUCAAAAAUGUAAACAUCAUUAAUAAAAAAUAUGAAAAAACUAAAAUAUCCUUUUUUUCUUUUUCUUUUUUUUUCUUCAAACAAUGUGACCGACUAAUAUGCUCCCAUUCAUUGGCCGACCACCCCACGGCAUGUGCUCCCCAAGGGAUGAGAGCACUAGAUCUGGUGCUCUUAUCCCUUGGCUUGAAAUUUUUUUGUAAAAAAAAAUAUAUAAUUGUAAUUUUUAAAAGUAAUAAAGGGUAAAAUUAUCUUUUCAAUAUUAUCACAUUAUCAAAUUAAUAUAAAUACUAACGGUUGACUAAUGGUUGGAUCUUUGUGUUUAGUAAAUUUUUUUUUUUGACGGAGUUUCCAUUUCGAAAACUAAUGAACUUAUGUGAAAUUUGGUCUAGAUAUUUUACCCUAAAAAUUAUUAUUUUAUAAGAUUGAGUAAUCAAAAUAAUAAUAUUUAUAAAUAUUGAUCUUCGAAACAUUGUUUUCCAAAAUUAAGUUAUAAAAACAAAAAUUUUAAAAUGGGAUUAUUUUCAAAUUUCAAGUAAUGAAAGUGAGCUUUUGAGAAAGAUGUAAAUAAAUAAGAAAAUCUAUUUGUUCCUCUACACAGUUCAGAGUCAACAAAUUCAUUAGAGAAAUCUACAUUGGUCCCCGAUUAGCAUGCUUAUUUAAAUUUUUUUGUACAACAUGAAUUAAUUAAUAAUAAUUAUAAAAAGCAGAUCAAAUGUAAUUUGGCUAUACAUAAGCCGAAGGGGCUCGAACCUUUAGAUUUGAGUAAUGACACAAGCAUAUCCAUGAUCAAUAUAUAAUAUCGAAUAUUGAAACAAAUAAAGAAAUGAUCUAUAUAUGCUUUUGAAACUGUAUGAAAUAGUGAUAUAAAAAACCAUCUAGGCCUUGAAAUUUGCCAUAGCAACUGUAUUUAGUAGUCUGACUGACCCUAAUACUUUAUUAAUUGCAUUCUAUAUACAAAUAUGGAAUUUAAAAAAAAACCACAUAUUGUUAUUUACUUGUGACAGCUUUAAAUUUCAUCUCUGUUGGAGGAAAAGAUCAUAAUCUAACAUGUAGUAAGUAGCCAUGAAAUACCUAUUUAAAUGUAGAAUAGUGGUGUCUGUGAGUAGAUAAGGUGGGAAAUUAAGUGCAAGAAGAGAUUAAAAAAUUACAUUGAAACUCGCCGAUAUGAACAAGUAGAUCUGAUCAUGAGCCAGGCAAUCAGCCUAAGCCCGCAAACUUAGCUCGUUUUGAUCAGUCUGAGCCCGAGUUUGGCCCAUCAGAUAUUGCUAUUUAUUAUAAUAAAAAAAUAAUAUGCUUUAAUUAAAAUUUGAUUAUAAAAAAUACUUUCCUUGUUUUAAUCUACAAGAGGUUUGGGUGUUUGAGGAAAUAUUUAGACAAGUCCUAAGGUUCAGGUUCUGGUGACCAUGGAAAAGGCUCCAUAAACAAGUCAAUAUUAGACUUUCUAUUAUUUUAUCGCAUGGUUACUUUAGUGGUGUAGGUUAUGCAUGCGCUAGUUUAGAAAAAAACUGAAUAAGUACUACAUAUACAUAAAGUAAACAUCAACAUUAGUUCACAUAGUCCAAACGUGUGGAGUCAAAUGAAUUUCGAAUUCCCUCACCAGAAAGCAAAUUGUUCUACGCUUAGUAGAAAAUACCAUGAUCCUUAUUUAUAUCAUCCCUUCUUUUUGUCACCCUGUCAUAGCUCUUACCAUUAGUCAGUCAUCUUUCAGAAAGUUCGACUAUGUCUGAUUUAGGAGAUCAUGCUAUACUUGUCACUGUAUGCCUAGCAACCAUCGUUUUGUUCUUAGCCAUCUUUGCAAAGACCCGUGCAAAGGGUCGACGACCACCGAGCCCUCCAGCCCUACCAAUCAUUGGACAUCUCCACCUUCUUCGCCCUAUACCUCACCAAGGUCUUCACAAGAUCUCCACCCGCUAUGGACCAAUAGUAUCCUUCUACCUUGGCUCAAAACAUUGCGUCCUUGUUUCCACCCCGGACAUAGCAGAAGAAUUCCUGAAAACUAAUGAAGCUUCUUACUUAGACCGCCCUAAAAUGGCCAACUUCGAUUACCUUACCUACGGCACAUCCGAUUUUUCCACGGCACCUUAUGGACCACGUUGGAAGUUGAUGAAGAAGCUUUGCAUGUCCGAACUUCUGGGGCCCCGGACACUGGAGAAGCUCCUUCCAAUUAGGCGUGAAGAGAUAAGGUCCUUCCUGAAAAUGACCAAAAAGAAAGCUGAAAAAGGAGAGCCUAUUGAUGUUGUAGCGGAACUUAUGACCUUGACAAAUAACACAAUAUCCAGAAUGAUGGUCAGCUAUCGAUGUUCUGGUGAUGAGAACAAAGCUGACGAAAUAAGGAAGAUGAUGAGAGAGAUGAACGGGCUAGGCACAAAGUUCAAUUUGGCAGAUGUUAUUUGGUUUUGUAAGAACUUGGACUUGCAGGGUUUCAGGAAAAGACUAGUAGAAGUUCGCGACCGUUAUGAUACUAUGAUGGAGAGGAUCAUAAAAGAGCAUGAAGAAGAGAGGAGGAAGAGGAAAGAAAUGGGGAACGAAAGUGAUACAGUGAAAGACUUACUUGAUAUUUUGCUUGAUAUUUAUGAAGACGAGAGCGCAGAGGUCAGAUUGACCAGGGAAAACAUAAAGGCCUUCAUUUUGGUAAUGAAUACUUGACGCAAACUCAAGCACAUAGCUAUGCAGAUUUUAUUGUAAUUAUUUCAGAUAAUUUUAUUUAUAUCAAGAUCAAAUAACAUAAUUCCUUCUAAUUUCAAAAUUAAUAGUUUUGAAAUGAAAAAACUGGAGAGUAUACAAAUUAAUUUGUAUGGUUUGAACUGCACAGAAUUUAUUUGGGGCUGGCACAGACACAUCUUCCACAACUAUGGGAUGGGGACUGGCAGAGCUAAUCAACAACCCAAAUGUUAUGGAGAAAGCAAGACAAGAGAUUGAUUCUGUGGUUGGAAAGAAGAGAAUAUUAGAGGAAUCAGAUGUUGCCAACCUGCCUUACCUCCAAGCAGUAGUAAAAGAAACACUUAGGCUUCAUCCAAGUGGCCCAUUCAUUGUAAGAGAGUCAACUAAAGCCUGUGUUAUUGCUGGUUAUGAAAUCCCAGCAGAUACCCGUCUCUAUGUUAAUGUAUGGUCACUUGGAAGGAACACAAAGCAGUGGAAAAACCACCUAGAGUUCAGGCCAGAGAGGUUUCUUAACAGCGAAGAGUGGCAAGGGAAGAGCCAGUGGUUGGAUGUUAUGGGACAGGAUUUUAAUCUUUUGCCAUUUGGGAGUGGAAGAAGAAGCUGUCCUGGAGCUUCACUAGCACUAAGCAUUGUCUCAACUGUCCUUGGUUGUAUGAUACAGUGCUUUGAAUGGAAGCUAGGGAAUGGAGGAAAUGGUAGAGCUGACAUGGAAGAGACGGAUGGAAUGACUCUUCUUAGGGCUAAUGACUUGCUUUGUUUCCCUGUGGCCAGUCUCAGUCCAUUUCCAUCUGUUGAAGAAUAAUACUUAAUCUGGGAAAUAAAUUUGCUGGAGUCAUUGGCGGGAAGCACCAGCUUUGAAGGUUGAAGAAGACUCUCAGAUGCAAAACAUUGAUAUUCUCGACUUAAGAAGCUGGUUGUCCAACGCUUAUAUCUUGAGUCGUUUUAUUGUUAAAUGAGUGUGCCUAAAACGCUCUUAGUUGUGUCGUUUAGUUUUGUUUUGUACUUGGUGGUUCUAUACGCACCAUUAGAGUGCCGUUUUGAUAUUUCUUUUAUUGUCUGUUGUAAGGCCAAUGGCCGUGUCUGUUUCUUCUUCAAUUUACUGUUGAGCCACUCCUUGCUUUGAGUGCCGCUCCUUCCUAGAUCCAAUUUAGUCUCUAUAAACUAAAAUCUAGGAAAUGUUGUUAUUGUUGAAGUAUAAAUACAAAUAUGAAAAUGAGAUCCAUGCUUUUUGGAUCAUAAUUUCUCUUCUCAAAUUCUCUUUGUUUCUUUUGCUCUGUUUUUCUCAGUAUUUCAAAUUUCUCUCAUUCUUUUCCGGAAAAGCUUUUGUUCAUCCUUUCUUCACCAUCAAUCUGAUUAAUCAAAAUGUGGUUAUGUCAUGUAUUAUAUGCUUUUCUGUUAGAAACAUUUGCUGGACAUGUGUACACCAUCAAUCUAAGUCCAUGUAUCAAUGCUCAAAAGUCUUAAUUCCUCUGCAAUCUGGAUGUUUUUAUGUUGAUGGUAAUAUUUAAGUUGACUGCACAAGAGUUUGAGAAGACUAUUAUAUUCUAGAAUAAUGUAAAGUGUGCUACAAUGAUCCAAUAUACACGGUCUGGAUAAGGUGCUCAAAAUCUGCAAUCUGUAUUAAGAUUACAUUUGGUGAUAAAUGCUAUCAGUUUGUUUGAUAUGUAACUACUUUCUUUCAGUGAAGCAAUAUCAUCUCUUAUCGGGCUAAAGCUUAGCUUGUUUAUUAUACUCUCUUUUUUUUUUUUUAAUUUUCAAUGAGAAAAUGAAUCUUUCUUCUCUCCUAGCAGAAGCGGUUAAUUCUUUUACAUCCUUAGGCAGCCAACUGUGUUUGACAGGGGAGAAUGAGCAUAGUCCUGUUUCUUGAAACGUGAAAGUACCAAUCAAUUAAAUUUUGAGGGAUACAGACUGCUAUGUUUUAUGUUGCUGCUGGAGUAUAAUGGCAAGUCUUUAAACCUGAAUUUUUGUAUACCAAAUGAUUGAAUUUAUUUUUGAGUGUUUUUACCUUCUUUUUUUUUUUCUAUUGCAACAGAAGCAGGAUUUGUUUCUCCUUUUCCAACGAGUACUUCAUUCUGUUUCUGGUGGCUCACCUAUUUUAAAAUACUGUAACUAAAAAUGUGGACAUGAAGUGUCUAGCCACCCAUUUGUAAUUGUCAGUAUAUUCAGUGUUCCCAAGGUUGUCAUCCAUUAGAAAAGAGAUUUUCCAACCUCUCAUGGUUUCAUCUUCCGUUGCACCCUGCAACAUCUUAAAGGAUAUAUCUUUUUAUCCCCUGUGAGAAUCCAAUAAUUUCUUGUGGUUCAGGUACUGUUAGGAAAUGUAACAGCACUAUAGUCU
This 49665-nucleotide long non-coding RNA is filed under the name Theobroma cacao (cacao). Its description in RNAcentral is "long non-coding RNA (TCAC_LNC003430)". The record is from RNAcentral. Lineage: Eukaryota; Viridiplantae; Streptophyta; Magnoliopsida; Malvales; Malvaceae.